AACACUAGUCUUUGUCUUUGUAUCAUCAAAACCAUGCUUCAAACUAUAUGCUCUAUAAUACACAUGUUUGGUCAAAAGAAAAUGAUGUUCAUACUCUCUCUCUCUCUCUCUCUCGCUAUAAAUAGAAGUGACCAUAACAUAGCAGAUUAGGAAUGCGAUACCAAAGGAGGAUUUGGGUCUAGAAAUGGAGAAGAUGAAGCAAAGCAACGGAGGAGGAAGACAACAGGGAAUCGAGCAGCGACACUGCGUUCCAAUUCACAGCCAAGUCAGGAAGAUCAAACAAGAGGAUGAGAAGAUGGAGGACCACCUUCGGCCGAAGAUGUUCGAGAGGAGGCCGGCCGUGUUCCAGGAGCUGAGGAGGCAGCGCUCGCGGUCGCCGCUGGGAAUGGUCAGUCGAGAGAUUUCGGUGGGGGAGUAGCAUUAGAUCGACUGCAAACUUCUAAAUCUUCUUUCUGAGUUCUCUCUCUUUUCCCAACUUAUGAUCGACUGUAAAUAGUUAUGUAGGAUUUCAACUCGUUUCAUGGUUUCUAUGUGAUCAUAGGUGACAUGUUUUAUGUCAGGUUUUUGAUUUAUCUCAAACGUAAGUUGAAUCAAAAACCUUAAUAAGAUCGUUUUUAUCUUAAAGAAUAAACGAUGAAAGUGGAUUUCUAAUAAAAUCUUGGGGGUCGGAUGAGACUUCGAUCGAAUCCUCAAUCUUUAAUGAGUGAAUUUGAUAUCACUAUCAAAAUAAUAUUUUAGAUGAAUGAUGUUUUAAAUUCACUCCGUUGUUGAUAAGUGAGUUUAGAAUGAUACCACUAAAUUAAUGUUUUUUAGGUGUAAUAAAUGUUGAUGACAAUGAAAACUUUUAGGAUGCAAAUAUGAAUCAUCAACUGUGUGAUUAUCAAUGAUUUAUUGAUAACAAAUAUUAUGUAAUUAUCAAAAGAAGAAAGUCAAUCUGAAGAAUUCUUUUUUUUUCCAAUGGAUAUGCUAAUUAGAGGUUUAUUGAUGAUAGAAUCCAAUAAACAAAAUCUACUCUCCUUGACACAAAAGAACAAAUUGCUCCAUCUUACAAAGAGGAGAGAGACUGGUAUUAUGAGUGCCUUCAUACAAGAGUUCCAUGACUGUACAAUCAUAUCAAUAUUACUCUUGCAUCAAUGAAAAGCGAAGACUUUGGUAUGCAUCACCUCAUUCUGAUCAUUAGAAAAUUAAUGUUAAAUUAACAUCUGAUUAAGAACUAGAUUUUUGAAUUGAGAAAUAGCUUGAACAUCAAAUUUAGUUAUUUUUAAUUAAAAAAAGAUAAGAGUAACAUGUUCAGAUGUCCUCUAAAUUACAUAUCUAAAAUGAAAUGGAGAAAUGUAAGUCCUAAAAAGGACUUGUUACAGAAAACACCCAAAUGAUAAUUAAAGCUAAUACACUCGUUAUGUUGAUUCCUAUGGCUGCACUGCUUGAAGAUGGUGCUGAAAACAAGAAACAAUUAGUUUCUUAGCAUUCCUCUAACAUUGAAUUUGCAACAACAUACAUAAGAAAUUAAACCACUUUCCUAAUAUCAGAAUAAGUUAUUCUUGCUCAUCCAAUACAUAGCUGAAGAGAUAAAUGAAAAGGCCAAUACAUUGCGACAAUACUAAUCAAUCUGACUUGACUUGGAGAACAUGCACAGAAAUUUGUAGUUUAAUAAAUUAUGAAUGUAAAUUAUCAUUCAGAUGAGUUCAUUUAUGCGUCUCAAGUAGUUUUUUUUCCAAAUAGCUAAAUUAAUUCGUGUAUAUCUUUCAAAUUCACUUGAAGCUUUUAUAUUUCCAAUCAUUAUUAUUAAGAUAAAAGUCACUAUUAAGAUACCAUUUUAAUGACGUCCAAGCAAUAUUAUGAAAUUAAUCAUCAUGGCUUGUCGAAGUUUCACAAUGGCUAAGAUUCUAGAGAUUUGCCUUGUUCAUUAUCUCCAUAACAAGUAUGCAAUUAUGAGUGAAGAGCAAGUAAAUGCAUAAGCUGAGCUAUAACAAGCCAACUUUGAUUUAAAAAACACAAAACAAAAAUCCAUUUAAUUCCAAAUCAAGAUUAUUUGGAUCAAGUGCUAUUAGCAAAAGUUGACUAAAGUAAAAAAAUAUAAUGCACAUUAAAUUCUUAAUGGAUGUGUCUGAUGCAUAAAAAAAAUACACAUGCAUGUACACACACAUACAUACAUACAUACACACACAUACACACACACAUACAUACAUACAUACAUACAUACAGACAUAGNNNNNNNNNNNNNNNNNNNNNNNNNNNNNNNNNNNNNNNNNNNNNNNNNNNNNNNNNNNNNNNNNNNNNNNNNNNNNNNNNNNNNNNNNNNNNNNNNNNNNNNNNNNNNNNNNNNNNNNNNNNNNNNNNNNNNNNNNNNNNNNNNNNNNNNNNNNNNNNNNNNNNNNNNNNNNNNNNNNNNNNNNNNNNNNNNNNNNNNNNNNNNNNNNNNNNNNNNNNNNNNNNNNNNNNNNNNNNNNNNNNNNNNNNNNNNNNNNNNNNNNNNNNNNNNNNNNNNNNNNNNNNNNNNNNNNNNNNNNNNNNNNNNNNNNNNNNNNNNNNNNNNNNNNNNNNNNNNNNNNNNNNNNNNNNNNNNNNNNNNNNNNNNNNNNNNNNNNNNNNNNNNNNNNNNNNNNNNNNNNNNNNNNNNNNNNNNNNNNNNNNNNNNNNNNNNNNNNNNNNNNNNNNNNNNNNNNNNNNNNNNNNNNNNNNNNNNNNNNNNNNNNNNNNNNNNNNNNNNNNNNNNNNNNNNNNNNNNNNNNNNNNNNNNNNNNNNNNNNNNNNNNNNNNNNNNNNNNNNNNNNNNNNNNNNNNNNNNNNNNNNNNNNNNNNNNNNNNNNNNNNNNNNNUAUAUAACUAGUUCAUGAAAGACCAUUUACCUUUAGGAGUUGAGGUUGGAGGCGAUGAAGCAUGAGGUGGGAUGGGAUUUGGUUUUGGAGCAUCUGCAGAAGUCAUGAAAAAGUUUAAUAGAGCAUAUAAGUAUACUAAUUGUAUUAGUGAUCACCAAGUUACUUAAGAAAAACAUCUUUUAUUCUUAUUUCACACUUGGAGUUUAGAAUCCCGGAAAUGAUCGCUUUGUUUAAUUUUGAUUAAUAUUUACAGUAAAAAUUACAAUUGUGUACAAUAAACAUUGUCAUCUCCUAAUUAUUUGCUAUCAUUAUGUACUAGAAUAUUUAGUAUGUGAAAAAGGAAAGAGAUAAAUCUGAAACCUGAGAAAGAUAUUUUUAGAUAAUCCAUGAUUUUUUUUUUGCGGUUUUUGCCAAGUUAUUGGGCAUAAAAGAGUUUGGGAGAAUCCAACAAAACUAAUGCUGGAUUUGUCAUGCAGCAAUAGGUAUGGUCAAAUCAAAUUAUUUGGUUCAAAAGUUUCUUUCAGGGCAAUUGAACUCUAGAUGGUAUAAGAUCUGUCAGAUAUGGAAAGACCUAUAUUAAAAGCUUAAUUGUGGGAUGGGAUUUAUGGCCUGCCUUAAUUAUGAAUGAAUUUGGAACGAGAAUCGAAAGAUUGUAUUUGGUGGAAAAUGAUUUCCUUUCUCUGACUAUAGAGAUCUAAUGAGAUUAAAAUGGAAAGAGUGGAUUAUAUAGGAAUCCAUUUGGUGGAAAAUAAUUUCCUUACUUUAUUCUCUCUUUGUUUAGAUUAAACCCUCAUAUUUUUCUAUCCAUGUCCAAAUCUAUAUAUUCAAAUCUACCCCUUUUUUUGGACAGGAAUAUUGAACUUACCAUUUUUUAGGAUUCUUGAACAAAGAUGUACCUAUACAUUUCUUGACUUAUUUAAGGGGGCAUGAACUCACCCACUGCAUGUUUGCCACAUCUCCAUAUGAUAUUAUAUAGAUCAAACAUACAAACAAGAAUAAAAGACUAUAACCAUUUUUUUAAUUUUUAGUUAAAGCAAAUUAUUGACAAGUCGAUUUCAUAUUAGGUUAAAAUCUACAAGUAUCCAAACAUCAUUUAAGUUUAUGCAAUGGCAAAAGAGUUAGAAACACUGUAUUAGGAAUCCAAUAACAAUAGCAAAUCUUCGAGGGGAAGAGCUAAUAAUCUACCUGAAGAGAACUUGCACUUAGUAACGUCCGGCGCCUUCAAUCCGCAGCGCGGGGGAAACCCCAGGAUUUGGGACUGCGAGAUGUUGAGCGACUCGAGGAGAUGGUCGUCGAAGAAGAGUUUGCAGAGGCAUUCGAUUUCCUCAUCCAACGCGCUCCCCAGGGGGACGCAGCAGGCGGCGGGCGGCUUCUCCUGGGACCGCAGGUAGUCCAGGCAAGGCAGUAGUUUCCUCACGCACGGAGGCACGCCAACGUCGGUGUCGCCAUCGGAGACCCCCAUGGAAGCCCACAGAGAGAGCACGAAGAGGAAGCAGAGGAGGCCCUUGUUGGACGCCAUUAAGGGUCUAUCGAAAGGUCUCCUGUGCAGCAGCAGAAGAACGACACACUUACGUUUAUAUAGAGGUUGUGAGAGGGGGAAAAGGUUAUUAUUAUUAUUAUUAUUAUUAUUAUUAUUAUUACCCUUCUAAUAUUAAUUAUUAUUCAUAUAUACCGUUUUCAGUUACAUGCAUCCUUCACAGCGUUAAAGAAAAAAAAAGGAUAUUUAAUUACCUAAAAACGACUCUAAUAUCAACAUUGAAUUGUAGAUGCUGACGUAGAAUACUAUUAUAUUAUAUAAUUAUUUAUUAUUAAAAAAAAUUACCAACUAAACUAAAAAAACAUUUCCAUUAUUAUUGUUAACAUUUAACUUAAUCUACAAAAUAGUAAAGAAAUCAUUUGUGUAUUAGUGAAAUCAAUAUUAGGUAUUUCUUGAAAUGUGCACGUGAUUUGAGCUACGUUACGUGGAGUAAUAUUUCUUGAUAUUUUUUCCUUAGCUUUUGAACUAAAUGUAAGUAGAUUUAUUUUCAUUCCCAGGAAUGAAGACGAUAUUUGUUCUUGGCUCUCUGAUCGAUUUGCCAAUCACCUGCGGACAAAUAUAAUUAUUAUUAUAUAUUUCAAUAAUUAUGAGGUUUAUUUAGGAUCAAGCGUAGUUAUUAGAAUCUAAGAGUAAAAAAGAAAAAUGUUUUAACAUAUAUUUUGGAUGUAAUCUCUCUACUCAUUCGAGGAAGGAACUCCUUUCAUAUCUUUAUAUUUGAACAAAAUUUCAUAUAUAUAUAUAUAUUGAAUUAGUUAGGGUUAUGAACAUUUGAAUAUCUCCUAUUACAUAUUUUUCAUCUUUAUGGUAUUAUAUCGAGGAUAGAAUGUUGCGAGCUACAUAAAAUCAUUUUGGUUAGAAGUGUUAAUUAUACUUAUGAGAUACUUAUGACACACAUUCGUAAUUGAUAUUAUUAAUUAGACUUGAUAGUAAUUUUUUUAAUUAUUAUUAUUUGAUAGUAAUUUUUCAUUAUCCACAUAGAUAUAGAGCGAGGAUGGAUAUAAUAUCCCUUAAGUUGUUUAUUUAAUAUUUAAUAAUAAUUAUUAUUUAUAAAAUUGAUAUUAUUAAUUAGAUUUGAUAAUAAAUUUUUAAUUAGGAGAAUAUAAAAAAUUAUUGAAUCCUUUGUGUACCUUGGAAAGAUAAAAACAAAAUGUGGAAGAGAAUAAAUAUUUGUUUGGAUGUUAUGGAUUUGAAAGUAAUUUUAUAUGUAUACGUGAAAGUAUGAUGCGCUCCGGUGAGAUGAUUCGGAGUGAUGUGAGAGUGCAUGAACUUGGAGACGCAGAUAUAAUUCCAAGGAACAUCUUAUCGUCACCGAUGGCAGUUUGGUCCGGUAGAACAGUGCGUGCGAUAAAGUAGCCGAAAGCAAGGGUUUCAUGUAAUCCGUCGAAUCGAUUCCAGGGCGUUUGAUGCGCUUGGUUCAUUCCAUCACUCCACCUGUUGACCCGCCCAAGCUCGAGUCCUCGCUCCCCCCCACCUUGUCUUCCUCCACUCCUCUUCGUCUCUGCUGGCGAAAGCUCUCGGCGAUGCAACGAGCGAAACAAGAAGCGUAGCGAGAACGGCAACCUCCGGUUUGUUCCGUGCGAUGGAUGCGAUCGGGUGCUGUUCGGAGGAUUUCUGGUGAUGAGCCCCCUCUGAACCCCAGUUAAUGGAGGCGAACCAUCGAUCCUCGAGGCCUCUCCAGCUCCACCCCGCUCGAGUCGCUGUCGUCGAUCUCUUCAACCUCUAUCUAGGCGUAACCUACCUAACCAAAUACUCUCACUCUCUCGGUCUUUUUUGUUUCUAGGUCCAUCGAUGGGCUCUCUCCUUCUGAUGGAUCCUUUUGUUUGCAGAGGAACGGCCGGCAGAGAUCGGAAGACCGGUCUCCCGAGGCCUCGUAAGUUGAAAUUAUACCCUUUCUUACAAAGAUUCGAUUUAUGGUCAGCGUCUUUGAGGCAACACUGAAAUAAAUGGAAAUGAGGAUAUCGAAUAUGGCCUAGGGCUUUACUAGGAGUUAGCUAAACUCUUGGUCGCUUAUGGUACUUUAUGGCGACGAAAAUAAAAUAUCGUGAAAUGAUGUUUCAUGUACGAGGAAUUAGGAGUCAAACAUUCCUUUUAACGUAUUUGGUCAGUGAUACCGCUGUUUGUAGUCAAAAAUAGGCAAUUGGGUGAGUGGGUUUUGCUAGAUCUUUAAUGUUGUUUGUGCGUGUGUUGGGGUGUAUAAGUGCUUUAGUUUUAUACAAAUUAUGACUUUUUUGAUGAGUGAUUGGUGCUGUUUGGUGCUAGCAAUGGCCAUUUUGUGCUAAAAUUUCAGCAGGAAGAUUCUAGGGUAUACAAAAUUCUUUUGGUAAUUCAUCAAAUAUUUUCUUCUUUUUUCGUUCUAGCCUGAGCUUUUCUUAAGAUAGAGCAGAUUCAUUAACUGUCGUAGUGGUUAAUGUGUUUUUGGUUCUGGUUAUGAUGUUGUAUUGGUUUGGCUGAUUUUGUGGUUUAUGUCUAUGUUAGAAACAAAUUACAGAAGAGGGUCACUGCUCCUCACGGGGAGCUUCCACCGCGUGAUGAACAGUUUAUAUUGGAUUUUGAGCAGUUGCAGGGUCAAUUUCCAGUAUGUAUCAGAAUCUUUCUGCUACCUUUGCAAAUGAUUUUGUUUCGUUGACAAUGACUUGUAACUAACUGUGCUUGCACUAUUGCACUUCAGGAUCCGGAGCAACUGCGUACAGCCACAGAAACAGUUAUUAUGUCUCUUGUUGUGCAGUGCAGCAGUCAUGCACCUCAAUCAGAAUUUCUUCUUUUUGCGAUACGGAGCUUGUGCAGCAUAGGCUAUCUGAAAUGGGAUACAUUCCUUCUUUCACUCCUUUCUGCAGUUUCCGCUGCAGAGGCAACACUUGCGCAGGGUACUCCAGCGACACCAGGUGUGUUGUCUACUGGGUUGUCAUCAUCUUUAAUGAUGUUUUCACUUUUCACCAUCUACCGCUACCGUGUCAUCUGCUCUGAACCUCCAUGCUUCUAAUCCAGCAUCUCCAUUAGCAACUAUUCAUGGGGUCAGCUCUCCUGCCCAAUCUGCUACUGAUCAAUCUGCUGGGGCAACUCUUUCACCGGUUAAACCAUCUGAACUCUCUGGUUCUGGGCAUCAGAGUAUAACAAGGUCCGGUCAGAUGACAAGAGGAACUGCUAUGGGUUCUCUCCGUCAAUUCUCAUGCAAGAUUAUCUUAGCUGGACUAGAAUUCAAUCUAAAGCCAAUUACGCAUGCAGAGAUCUUGAGUCAGAUGCUGAAUUGGUUGGUUAAUUGGGAUCAAAAGCCUGUGGGAUCAGAUGACAGUGAUGGCAAGAAGGUCUGGAAGCCUGAGAGGCCUGUGCAUGAAUGGAUGCAUACAUGCUUAGAUGUUAUAUGGAGGUUGGUGGAUGAAGAUAAGUGCCGCAUUCCCUUUUAUGAGCUUCUUCGCAGCAACUUGCAAUUCAUGGACAAUAUUCCUGAUGAUGAGGCAAUGUUUGGCAUCAUUCUGGAAAUUCACAGGAGAAGAGAUAUGGUUGCCAUGCACAUGCAAAUGUUGGAUCAACAUCUUCACUGCCCUACCUUUGCCACUCAUAGGUUCAUGUCACAAUCCUAUCCAAGUAUAACCGGUGAAUCAUUGGCCAAUGUUCGUUAUUCUCCCAUCACUUAUCCUAGUGUUUUAGGAGAACCAUUGCAUGGAGAGGUGAGAAAUCUGCUUUUUGUUUCAGUAUAAAAUCAUGCAUUUUGUAUCUUGUUUGCAGCAUAACAUGCUGCUCUAUGCUUGCAAACACGUCUCUUUUUUAUCUCAAUUUUCUUUGUGGUUGUCCUAUCAGAGAUGGGAAAAAGAAGAAUUCAUACAAUUGAUGAAUCUUGUUUGAUGCCUACUUGUUUUCUUGUGAUUGGUCUAAUUGAGGUUCUUUACCAUGUGCUAAAUUAAAAUUGAAGAUCUGGUUUUUAAAGAUUCAACAGCAGACCAAAAAUGUCAGACCAUCUAAUCAUAAAACCCUGACAUUCUGUGAGACAGUAUGACUUGUAGGUUUGACACCUAUGCUUAAUUUGUUAUGGCAAAAUGCUAUGUGGAUUUCAUGUCAUACUCUUUAGUAUGAUGAGUUAGCAUCUAAGAGCAUAUUUCAACUGUGUCGGGAGUAGGAAUUAGGACAUUGAGUUUUAUGGGGAGCACAUACAUAAAGGCAUAAAAUACAACUUCAAGGAUCUUGUCAACUGAUUUUUAACUUGUUGGAAGUAUUAAGCUAUAAAGUUGAAUUAGGUGAUAGGAUUUCACAUAAGAAAGAUGAAAUAGUUUGAAUUUCAAGGGUGAUUUGUUGCCCACAAUAAAAAAUUAAUGGCAAACAUAUGUUGCACGGUUGCAUCUACAAUUGUUUGAUUUCCUAUGAAUAGAUUUACACUCGCAAUUCAUUAUCUUAAUUCUUUGGACUUUUGCAAAUUGGAUGAAUAGGGAAUGCAUACUGAUAGAGUGAAGUUACCCUUCUUCUCAAUAUGUCAAGAAAAAGAGUAGGAAUUGGGUUCAUUGUUGAGAAGGGAGAAAGAUAGGGGUAUAGGGAAUAUGGAUGCAGAAAGUUUGGAGGAGAAGAGAGAGGAUUAGGAAGAAGUGGGGUUUGUUUUGUAGGUACAACCCUCUUAGUUAACUUACCAAAUUGCAUCCCACCUGAGGAGCAAGUUAUCAAACAUCGCACAAGGUCGAAAUAUUGCAUGCGCAAGUCUAGGGACCGUAGAUUCCGGCAACCAUACUUCCCUUGUUUUCUUGUGUCGUUGAGAAAUAAAAUUGAAUGUUUUCUGGAAAUAUUUGAACAUUCUAAGAUGUAUGGUCUGGAUCUAGCAAUUAUAUUAAUUUGAUGAAAUUGAAAAGUUUCAAGAGUUCAUGGUUGUCGAUCAAGGGUUUUCAUGAUGUCUCAAAGGAGCUUACUGUUUGGAGGGUUUCAGUAAUAUUUGAAAGAUAAUAUGAUUGGAUGAUAGUCUCUGCCAAAAGUCUUCAAAUUUUGAUCUUACAUGUUAAUUUCUAUAGGUGGAAAUCUGACUCAGAUUACAUAUGUAAGAGUAGUGGAUUUUGUAAAACUUUUCUUGAGUGAAGCAUUGCUUAUGUAUAAAUGUUUGAACAGAUGAAAAUAAAACGAAAUGUCUUUUAUAGAUAUAUGUUUAAUACAUGAAAAAGGUAAGGUUAUAUAAGGAUAGGAAAAAUAAAAAAAGGUAGUUACAAGUAAAUAGUGUAGAAGAUAGUCAAGGUAUUAUAGAUUUUAUUGAAGUCAGUUAACUACUGUCUAUCUGAUUGUUGAACUAUCUUCUUAGGUUAUAUGGAAUUGUUCACCCAUCAAACAGCGUACUUUGGUGUCUUUAUUAGGUGCCUGACACAUUUACAGUGCCACAAGUGAUAGUUUAGAUGGGGACUGUGCUGAUGGUCUAUGAUUAUUUUCUUUUGGAGAGUAGGGAAAUUGGAAGAAUUGGAAGGAAUUACUUGAGUAAAACAUGUAGUGGCUGGUGCUGCUUACUAUGAGUUUUGCCUGGAGUCGGACCAAGUAUUUUCGUUUCUGUGGAACACUUAAAGAACACCUUAUUGCUGUAUGUAAUGCUAUAUUAUAUUUGCAAUUACUCUAACCAAUAGAUCAUGCUGAUCAGAUAUAUAAUUGGGAAAUAUAAAUCAUCAUCUUGUUGCAUUGAGACACAAGAAUAUCACUUUACUGUUGUCUUACAGCUUAUCUCUCCAAUUGACAGGAUCUUGCUACAUCUAUUCCCAAAGGGAGUUUGGACUGGGAACGUGCUUUGCGGUGUCUAAGACAUGCUCUUCGAACAACACCAUCACCAGAUUGGUGGAGACGUGUGCUUCUUGUUGCCCCUUGUUAUAAACCUCAAGCUACACAGGCAUCAACCCCUGGUGCUGUUUUUUCCCCUGAAAUGAUUUGCGAGGCUGUUGUUGAUAGAACAAUGGAACUAUUGAAGAUCACAAACUCAGGCAAUACUAUCAACUUGUAUUAUUUUGCAAACCCAUGAGUAAUUCAACAAGUAAUUGAUUUCCUUCUCUCCAGGUAUAAAACUUAGCAAUAACUUAAUAUAUCAGGCAAGGUUCAUCAUACCGUAACAUACUAUUCAAACUAUUCGUACGAGUAGUACAUAUCUGUCUGACAAGGGGCCGGUAUGAGUGGUUCAUACCGGUCUGUUAGUAUGUCCCAUCGUACCAUGUAUCGGUACGUUGGUAUGGUUUGAUAUGUACUGUAUCGACAGUUGGUCGGUACAUUGGUACAGACCAGGAAGGUGGACCAUAUUAUUAGGUGACAUGCAUAUUGGAUUAUGACUCUAAUAGCUUCUAAAGCAUGAGGAGCUUCUAUAGUUGUAUUUUCUUUUACACACUUCACAUAUAAAUAUUUUUUUUUAUUUUUCAAAUUCUUUGUUGUGCAUGUCAUGAUAUUGUCUCGAUUGGUACCUUGCUGCUGAAAUUUCAGUUUCAAUUGAGGACCAAAUUGUUGUCUUUAUUUCAGUUAUACUCACAUUGAAUUAUUGAGGAUUUUUUUUGACUGGUUUGAACAUUUAAUAUUUAAUUUUUAUGAUGGCAAGUGAGUGACUAUCUGCAUUGAGUUCACAAUUUUAUUAGUGUAAAUGUGUAAUAAUGAAAGAAAUACAGUAGAACUUGAAUAGUAGAUAUAUUUAGUUUUUUCAGUAUUUCCAUAAAAAAUGCUGCAUCUGGUUUAGAUUUUGUGCAUCUUAUGUCUUUAUAUACUUGUUGCUAGUUAUAUGUUAGGACUUUCUGUGCCUUAUAUUUUAUGCCACAAGUUCAUUAGUUUGUUCUGUCUCUUAUCAAGUUAUGCUAUUUGCACAUGCUAUAUCUAUCCAUACUUUUUUUGGUGGUUUUCAUGUUCUUGUUUGGCGUUGGCAGAAACACAGUGCUGGCAGGAGUGGCUUAUAUUUGCCGACAUAUUCUUCUUUCUUAUGAAGAGUGGAUGUAUCGAUUUUCUUGAUUUUAUUAACAAGAUUGCCUCUCGAGUCACAAAGGGUGACCAACAGAUUCUUCGCAGUAAUCAUGUGACGUGGCUGCUUGCGCAAAUUAUUCGCAUUGAGAUUGUGAUGUCUACAUUGAGUUCAGACCCAAAGAAGGUGGUUUUUGUGCAUAAGUCUGUUGUUCUCUGUAUUUUUUAAGUCUUGAAAGGAGUUAAUGCUUGUCUCCUUAUAUUUUUAUGUUAUCUUUUUUGCUUUUCUAAAAAAUAUUUUACUUCUAAAUUCUAAUACAACAAUUAUAGUUAAGAUUUUUAGUGUGCUUGCUGGAAUUCUGCAUCUCAUUGAAUGAAACCAACCUUUGGUAUGCCCAUGUUAGCUCAUAUUCAGUCACUUGCUUGGGCAUAUUGUUGAAAAGAUAAGGUCAUGCCUAUGCGCAUGGAACCAUGCUAUCGACAUUAAACCAAUAAAAUCUUGGAUGAUGUGGCAUACACAGAAUUAACUGUGCUUUCUUUAACUAUUGCCUAUAAUUAGUUGUAUACUUACUUUGGAGCAGAAAUGACAUGUACAAGUACUUUAUUCCAUGGCUUGUAGCGAUCUUUUCCAUUAUAUGUCAGGUUAAUCAGCAUGAUUUUUGGCCUUUUGGCCUUUUACUGGCCAUCUAGAAAUGUUAAUGCCAAAAUGCCUUGACACAUGAUCAGCAUUGUCUUGGUAAAAAGGUGUGGUUCAAGGACAAUGAAGUGCUCACAUGUAGAUGGUAGGAUAUAGCAUUUUAUGUGUUGCUUGAGCGUUCAAAUCUUUGUAAAACAGCUAUUGUUAAUUUACAUCUAUAUUUUAGGUUUAUAUUUUUCUGGUUCUUGUCAGGUGGAAACUACAAAAAAGAUCAUUUCAUUUCAUAAAGAAGAAAAAAAUAUUGAUCCAAAUAAUGUCAGUCCUCAGUCAAUUCUUUUGGAUUUCAUUAGUAGCAGUCAGACUUUGCGUAUUUGGUCUUUCAACUCUUCAAUUAGGGAAUAUCUUAACAAUGAUCAGCUUCAGAAAGGAAAGCAAAUAGAUGAAUGGUGGAAGCAAGUAAUCAAAGGUACUUCUGUUUAGAAGUGUGCUUGGAUGAAUUUAUUAAUUUUUUUUUCUAAUACUGAUGGUUAUUCACUUUUAUUUUCUAGUACUUCUAUUCCGAGGAUUAUUCAUCUUCUGUAUGCAAGACUUGGAGAAUGAUAUGUACACCUAAAGUCUAUUUUACAUGUGACGUUUUGAAGAUAAAAUGAGUUUUUUGUCUUUCAUAACCACACCUAUCAUCAGGAUGUCUUUCAUCUAUAGUUAUUUUUGAUUUCUGAAACAUUUAUGACAGGUUGAAGUCAAAUGAGGAAUUUUCAUUUUUUGUCAUUGGCAAAUAUUUGUGAGAAGGGUGCUAAUAAGGAAGGUUUAAGCCAUAUUUAUUCUCUCAUGGUUUUGUAGACAAUGUACAGAAGGCAACUGGCCCGAGCUACUUCAAGAAUUCUUUUGAGUUACUUCUCUCAUGCAACAUUGGAAAAUUUGCAGUUUAAUCUAUAUAAAAGUUGAAUGGCAAUCUGUUGGAUGUAUGAGAUAAAGCCUGAAAUUGUUUGAUGAUAUGAAUUGUUGGUGUGAAUGCACAAUAUUAUGCUAUUUGUGGAAUGAUUUAGACAUGGAUGUUGAACUAUAAGCAUGUCUCCAUGAACCAUGUAAAGUUUGAGUCAUAUAAAUAUGCAUUAGAAAAUAACUUGUCUUUUGCUAGUUGCAUUUAGGUAGAAAAGGAUUUGGUCUGGUUGCUGUAACAUUCUUAUUUUUAUUUAACAUGUCAAAUGAGUCUUUUAAAUCUAGGUAUGAUUCAAUUUGUGUAUUAACCACCUUGGACUACAGAUUUCUGUCUUUACGAUUUUAAUGUUCAUCAUUAUUUUGAGGAUUUCUGUCUUUAGGAUUUUAAUUUAAGUUGUAUUAAAUUAAGCUGUUCUGAACUUGUGGAGAUUGGGUUGGUGGAAUUUGUGGGAAUAUAUGGCUUAUGAUUCAGGGUCACAAAUUAGUUGCUGGGGCCAGAAUAGUUAUCACUUAGCACUGUAACUUGUGUCACUGGUCAAAUACCCAAAGAAAAGGUCCAGUUUUUUGGGAUUUUUUUGCAGCCAAAAUAGAGAUUCCAAAGAAGUUCUUGAAAAUUGAAAUAUAUACCUUGCGCUCUGUUCAGCUUCUUCUAUGGUCUCCCUUUAUUAUUAAUAGACAUUAUGCUCCUGCUUCUUGGGCUAAAAUUGCAACUCUUUGUUCUUUUAUAUUUGCUUCAGUUGUCUGUGUUUCUUUUGAGUUUUUCAUUUUAUGGAUGCCUUUAUUCCCUUCUUCUCUUCUUUUUUCUUGUUUUUACUCACUCUCGUGUUUAAUAUUGAUUCUUUCAAUUUUGUAGAAUAUUUUUUUUAAAAAAAAUUAGCAAAAACCUGUGACAUAAAUUAUUUGUAAUUUUGCUCAGAUUGUUUCUUUAAAAUAUCUGUUGUUUCAUGAAUAUAGCUAGAUAUUUAAUUUAUAUAUUUAAAAAACCUUACUACUAAUACUGUUAUAGAGCGUAAAUCUUUGGUGCUCUCUUUGUUGUAUUUACCAUGUUAAUGUUGUGUAGCUGGUCAUGAUUCUAUUAUGGACAUAACUCUUUUAUGUCAUCUGUUAUCGAAAUGAAAAAUCUUACUAUCUAUUUGUAUGCUUUUCUAUUGAUUGAAGCAGCUUAUAACCUGAUAUUCUUAAUUGAUUUCCUGAACAAUGAGUUCAUCUGUCAAAAUUAGAAAAUACUGGGAGGUUCGAUGCAACAUAUGAACCAUUUUUGAGCAUUUUUUAAUCCAUCAUAUAGACAUGCAAAAUAAGUUCUCAUUCUACUUUAUUUAGUUUACAUCUUUUAUAGUUUUUUUCCUCAAUAUUUAGUUUCAGGGGAUCGUAUGAUGGAUUUUACGAGUUUAGAUGAUCGAUCAAUGGGCAUGUUUUGGGUUCUCUCAUUUACUAUGGCUCAGCCAGCUUGUGAAGCAGUUAUGAGCUGGUUUACAUCAGCUGGAGUAACAGAUAUUUCACAAGGAUCUAAUGUACAGUCCAAUGAUAGGAUGAUGAUGAUGCGUGAAACUUUUCCUCUGUCAAUGACAUUACUUUCUGGUUUGUCAAUCAACUUAUGUCUAAAGCUUGCAUUUCAGCUUGAAGAAACCAUAUUUCUUGGCCAGGUAUGACAACAUGAUGUAUAUUGCUUGGCUUAUCUUCUUCUGAAGUAAUAUUUCUUCCCAUAGUUAUCGUUCAUGUGCAGGAUUCUAUUUGUAAUGUAGUACUAACAAGUAAUAACUAAUAAGUACUUGCUAGUUCUUUUCGUUAAACAUGGAAUGGAGAUCAAUUUUCCUUAUUUUGUUAGAGUUGAAUUCUCAAAUCAAAUAUUCACUAAGCUACAGUAAGUAUAACUUGUUUUAGGUCAGAAAGGUAGAAAAACAAAAACCUUGUUUGAAAAUGGUUCUUAUGGAGUGCAUUUAUCACCUAUAACCUUGGAAUCAUCACUUAGACUCUUUGAAGUCUUGAAAUGAUUCACAUUAUUUAGAGAAGAAAAUCCAGUCACCCUGAUUUUAGGUAAAGCCUUUCCAACCAGUACUAGCCUGUCUAUUUACAUACUAAAGAAUAGUUUUGUGAUUAAUGCACAUGAUAUUUUAAAUUUUUAUUAAUGCAUUUCCUAGAACUAGACUUUGCAGAUAACUAGUACGCAGAAUUUGGAUAAAAUCUAAUCGUAAGGAUUAAGACAUCAAUCCUUUACCUCAAAAUUGAAUGUGGAAUCUCCAAAUUGAAGAUUAACCCCAUUUGUGAUCUGCAUCAUUAAAAAAAUUUUCAAACUAAAAUUCGUGUGAUUUGGAUAUGAUUUGUAUGUUUAUCAAAAGUGACACAAAAAGACCAGUGUAAAAUAUGUUUAUGCAUGACAAAUAUAAUCUAGACUGCUUUAAUUAAUGAUUGAACAGAUUGACCGUGAUCUAAAUAUGUAUUGUUGAUCAAAUCAGGUUCUAUUCUAUGUCCAUAAAAUAGCUUAAUUUCUUCUCCACUCGAUGCAUAUGUUAGGGUCUAUGAAUAAUAUGAUUUUUAUUUAUGAUUUUUUUAACAUCAUUGAUCAUAUUCAAUUGAGCUGCUCUUUGUUUUGGUGUCUCCAGGUUUGUUUUUGAGGUAAUAUGAUGGAUUUUAAAUCCUUCUGAUAGGGUUGCUAGAAAUAUAAGCAUUGAAAAAUGGAUAUGGAAAUGAUUAAUUGUACUUGCAUGACCGUUUGAACUUGCUGACUAAUAUGUAGUUGUUGCUUUUUGAAAUAUAUUUCUAGAAUCUUUUCCUUGUGAAUGACUUGUUUGCUGUUCAUAAUAAAUUCAAAUUGUCUUGUUUCUAUGCAGUGUGAUAUUGCAAUUCUAAGAAAAUGAAUCCUGCUUUGAAGCCAUAUGUUGAAGAGGAUUUAAGAUUAUGUGAACUCUUUAACUUCUAUAUUUAUUAAGGUGCAUGAAAAGGUUAACGAGAUUUCAGUUAGAUAAUGAUUCAUGGUUGUCAAACUCUUAAAUGUCCACAACAGUCCUUGAAAACUCAAUCAUGAAUGUCUUUCUUGUGUGCUUAUUGUCUCUGCAAGUAAUAUUUAAGCACUAGAUUCUGUGAAAGACUAUUAGUUUUAUAAAAGGAAAAAUAAUCUCUAAUAUUUUUUUUUUGAAAUUUACAUCUGCAACUGCCUGCUGUUUUGACUCUAGGGUACUUGGGAUUAUUUUCCAAAUUUAACUUUUCCUCAAGAAAGAAAUUUGUAAAAAUUUGAAGAUGAUUUUUUGUUUUUAUUCUCGUUGCUCUUGGUUCCUAUCUCCUCAGACUUUUGUGCUGAAAAAAGAAAUGGUAACAUUUCUUAAAGGUGAAAUUUUAAAUUCCUGGUUUCUAUGAAAGAUCCAAGAUUUAAAAGAUUGCUUGCAAUUGUUCAUACUUUAGUUUUCAUUUUGGGUCCUGUUUGAUAUGUGGCUGCUAUAAUUCAUUAACUUGUUAGACAAUCUCUUCGUAAUUAUAGUUUAAAGACUUUUAAAGCUUUUAUCCCAUUGAAUCAUUUUUAUUGUUAAUUCUGCAUAAACUAUGAUUUAUCAUAGGUUUUAAUUAUGAUAUUUGAAAAACUUAAUUUCUAUGUAUUGUUAUUGACAUCUUUCAUUCUGUUGUAGGCCAUCCCUAGCAUUGCCAUGGUUGAAACAUAUGUCAGAUUGUUGCUUAUUGCACCUCACUCGUUAUUUCGCCCUCAUUUCACGGUACCCUUUUGUGUCUUCUCUAGUCUAUUUGGCAUCUAUCUUUGACUUAAAAAUGGAGUGCUGUUGUCACCCUGAAAAUUUCUAUGCUUGUUUCUGACAUCCAUUUGUUACCUUCUGUUUUUAACUGUUCUUUGAAUUAUAAAAAAACUGAUUAACAUGCAUAUAAGCAACAUUAUUUCGAAGUUGAAGUUUGGAUCCAGUAAUUAUUUGCUAUAAGUUGCAUGACUAAUCUUUGUAAAGUGAAUAAUAUAAGUGUCUUUUCUUCAUGGCAAAAGACUAGUUUAGCAACAUCUGAUAGCUUUUUGUUAACAAAUUGUAUCUCCAUUGAAAAUAUGCUGCCAGGUGUACGUGAAGUGCAACUUAUACUUUUAAGCAAGGUCUGUCGUACCGAAGCGUACCGCCUGUACCGGGCGAUACGUACCGGUCCGACAGGUUAUCGGUAUGCGGAUCGCUCGGUACCGCUAUAGUGCUACAGUGCUCGGUACGCCAUGAUGUAUUGCCCAGUACAUCGGUACCGUACCAUACCGAGCCCGGGUCGAAACGUCGGUACGGUACGGUACAGCGAACCUUGCUUUUAAGUUUUGCCAGUAAAACUUUUGAAAAUUUUGUUGUAACUUGCCAAAAAGAUUAUGAAAUAAUCAGUUAACACAGCAAAAAAUUAAUAAUUUCCUGUUGCUGUGUUUAUGCCAAUCUUUUAAAAGCAGCAACGAAAUGCUGGUGGUACGGUUACACUUGUUUAUGACAGCAUAUACGAUAACUUAUAUACCAUUUACUUUGAAUUUAUCUGAAAUUAAAUUAUAACUAAAUGUUAAAAUAUUGCAAAGGAAGCACAAAGAUACUUAACUGAAGACAGGGAAGAGGCAAUGAUACUGUAGCAAAUGUAGAACAUGAGCUGUGCAGAAAUUUGAACGGAAAGGUGUAAGUGCUGCCUGCCACUGCUUGGUGGGAUUUAUCUAAUUUAUAGAUUAGGGAUUGUUUAAACUAAGGAUUGCUGUUUCGGGUAGCGGAUCUGUAUUGGUCCUUGGUGAACUGGUAUGGACUGGUCAGGUAUGUGUGUACCGACACAUGGUACAUCGAUAUGUACUGAUGAUUCGAAGAAGAAGAAGGAAAAGAGGAAGGAAUAGAUGACAGUGGAGGAAGGAGGAGGAGGAACAGGAGGCUGUGGUGGAAGAGGAAGGAAGAAGUGGACGCGGUGGAGGAGGAAGGAAUGAGAAAGAAGAGGAAGCAGUGUAGGAGGAGGAGGAGAAGAGGAGGAAGAGUACCAAUGGUCGGUAUUAUGCAGCGUCGGAUGGCAAUGGCAAUUCCGGGCUUGUGAAACAUGGGCCGAUAUCGAGAGAGGUCUAGAAUUUGCGAGCCCUAAUUGUAGGAGAACUUUUAAGUUCUUUUUACCUUUUUAAUGGGUUGGACUGGAUGGUUCGAAAUGGGUCGGUACGCAUACUGGUUUAUGCCGGGACUGGUAUGUACAGCCCAUUUUGUACCAGUACGGGUGAAAAAGUCAUUCACUGGUUUAAACAAGAGUGAACAAUGUAGGAGAGAAUUCAUUGAGCUGAGAAGUAGUAGCAGUAGGCUGACCAUUAUUUGCCGCCGUUUACAAUGUUCUGCAACUGCUUGCCCGUUUAAUAAUUACCAACCUUGAGAGAGAUAUGGCAUUUAAGUGUGAGUGAAACUGAAUAGAUUAAUUUACAAAUUUCCUUCUUAUGCUGAAAGCAGAAUUGGCAAACUUGGACAAGUUUGUAAUCAGUUCCAAAGUAAGAUGCAUAUGGGUACUGGAUCCAUACUGGUCUAUGGCAUAGAUAGAGAAGGUGUUGAAAAAGAGCAGGGUAGGAAACAAUGAUGGAGGAGGAGAAGAAGAGAAGGAGGUGACAUCAAAGAAAAGGAAGGAGGCAGCAAAGGAGGAAGAGGAGUACUGAUGAUACGGAGCCAGUGGGUGGCAGCGGAUGUGCAUGAGAGAUAAGCCUGAUGCAGGCGCAGACAACAAACACAUGUGAGAGAGAAGAGGCGGUUGGUCCAGGCCCAUUACCGUUAUUGGUUGCGUAGUAAACCCGGUUCACAGGGUUUACUGAGCAAUCUGGUCACGGGUGGACCGGAAUGUACCAUUCCGCUAGAUUUCUGCCUGAUUUGUCAAGCCAUGGUUGAUACAGUGUGGUCCACUCUGGCUUUCUGGCAGAUAGUGGUUUCUUUCUCAUUUUUAACACUGGGUUAGGCAUUCAUUGGUCUAAACUAGAAUGGAUCUUACUUCUGUAGAAAUAAGCAUGAAUUCAAGCAUGAAAUCAACAACAAAAGUAUUAAUAAGCACAAAAAGUGAUUUAUAAUCAAGGCUUCAAGAGUAAAAUUAACCAAAAAUUUUCAAGUUUAGCUUCAAAUUUACCUUGCUUUGUAGAAUAUGACCUAGAUUCUAUGGAAUGAAAGUUUAUUUAGUUGAGACUGAAGCUUGAUUUGGUUGAGAGGAAGAUUUGAGUGAGACUCCGGAGUAAAGAAAAAUGAGGUGGUUGCUGUUGGUGAGAAAAUGGGCAGGAGGGAUGGGUUGACUUUGGAUACUGGGCUGUAGGCUUACUGUUUGAUACACGUAUGCUUACCAGUUUGCACCUGGUUGAUUUGCACUUGGUUUGUCAUGGUUGGAGUAUCAAUUCUGUGACCAAACUGAUAAAAUACUAAUUGGUAUGAACAAGUCUGACUGGGUUUAAACUUGAUUUGAACUUGUAUAUUAUUUGCUUAAAAUGAGACUGCUAAUGUUAUUAAAUCUGUAUCGGUAAUCUUUACUAAAAUAUUAUUCUGUCUUGAUGAAUUUGUUUUAGUUCUUAUUACAAAUUGAAUUUUGUGAUAGGUCUAUUUAUUUAAUUUAUAUAAUUUAUAUGCUUUAAAUCUCAGCAUGUUCGCAGGUUUUUGUGUAAUUUGUGAUUCAUUUGGCUAUAUUGUUUCACCAUUUGUAUUAAAAGAUGGAAUUAUGACAUAAUAAGGAUAUUUCCUGAGUGGUUAAAAUCCUUGCUAAGCAUAGACAUAUGGUAUAUGGAUUUGUCUUAAAAUAAGAUGAAUGACUACUAUUUUUCUCUUUAACUAAAAAAAAUUCUUUGUUUUUUGCCUUGUUCUGUAAAUUGAGUACCAUAAUUUUAGCAUAUAUGAAACUAGGGAGUCAUUUUUUGUUCAAAUCUAAUGAUAAGAAUGUGGUGAUAAUUUUCACAACUUAAUUGAUUAUCUACCAUUGUUGACACUUUCCCGAGGCCUUCUUGGUUGAAACAAAUAGAUCAACUUAAUCUCACUUUCUGGAUCUGAAAACUAGUUCUUAGUUGCUUUUGAAGUGUUUGAAAUUUUAUUUAAAGCUUUUAUUAGAAAUUUUGCAAAUUUGAGUCAUCUUUCUUGUUUGAUUUAUAAAAAUAUUCUGGAAUUCCUGUUCGAUCUAUAUUAGUUCCUUGAUAAAUCCACUGUAAGUUUUUACCAUACCACAUGACAUAGUAAUUCCUCCAUUUUUAUGUAACUUCUGUGUUUGUUCUUUUAUCUAUAGACUUUGACACAACGAUCUCCAUCUAUUUUAAGCAAGAAUGGUGUGUCUUUAUUGCUCCUGGAGAUAUUAAACUACAGACUACUUCCUCUAUACAGGUGCUACAACUGCCUCCUUUGUAUAAAACAGUCUACUACCAAUGCUAAUUUUAGUAUAUUACGUCUCACUGCAACAACUCAAUUAUUAUUUAGUAUGAAUCAUUUGCGCACAUUGUUGAGUGGACAUUAACAAGUAAUUUAAUAGCAUGAACUGACAUUAUCUUAAGUCAUGUGUGAUGACUGGCAUAUACCGGGAUACUAUACAUUUAUCUUGCCUCAAGAUGUAAUCUUAUACUUUAUUAUAUUAAGUACUACUCGAUCAGAUGGGUUCCCGAAGAUGGGAACAAUUGUCAUGAGUAUGAGCAAGGUUUGACUUACCGGUCCGAGCUAGAGUGUCGGUCAGCCGGCUGCAUGACACAUGCUGCUCCGUACCGGUGUACCAACACAUGGUACGCUGGUGUGUAUCGAUGUUUUGACGAGGAAGAAAAAGAGGUUGAAGAGGAAGGUCUGGUGGAGGAACAGACAAGGAAGAAGGAGAAAGGAAGAAGGAAGAAGAAGAAGAAAGAAAAGGAGGAGAAAAAGUGCAGCAAUACCUGGGAAGCAGUGACGGUGUUGAAGGGAGACUGUAGCAUCACAGCGACGAAGAGGUGGUGCCAUUGUAGCAUUGCAAUGACGAAGCGGCGAAGAGGCAGUGUUGCUGCAGCAUCGUAGUAGCGAAGCGAUGAAGAGGCAGUGCCACUGCAGCAUCACAGUGGCAAAUCAGCGAAGAGGUAGCGUCGCUGCAGCGGCGAAGCGGCCAAGAGACGACACCGUUGCAACAUCGCAGUGGCGAAGAGGCAGUGCCACGACUUCGUACGUGCGAAGAGCCCUAAUAUGCUUUUUUUUUAACGCUGAGAUGGAUUGGGGCCCACCACUUUUUGAUUUUUUUAUUAUUUUAAUGUAGACUGCCCGAAGUGGUCCGUGUAUUGGUCCACGGUCGGACCAGGGUGUACUGCCCAAACCAUACUGUUUUGGGCAGUACAGCACAGAUUCCCAUCUUGGUUCCUUUAUAGACAGCUUUGGUACUACUGUGCUAGGCAGUUUACGAUUGAUACCACCACCUGCUAUCACUGAAUACGAGUAAUAAUAAAAUGCUGUGAUUGUUUUACCAUCCGAAAGAGCAUUUUAUGGGCGGUAUGUACUGGUCCGAGCAUGGACCGAUACACGGACCACCUCUGUUUCAGGCGGUCCAAUGAAAAUAUUAAAAAAAAAAAAAUCAAAAAGUGGUGGGCCCCAGUCCAUUUCAAUGUUAAAAAAGAAAUAAAAAGCAAAUUAGGGCUCACGGAUGCAAACCCUCUUCUUGUGUAUGAUGCCGCAGCCCUCGUUGUUGCCUCUUCACUGCUGUGAUGCUACAAAAGCUUAGCCUCUUCGCCACUGUGAUGCUGCCGCUUUCGUUUCAAUGCUGCUGCUUCUUCCCAGGUAUGCUGGCGUUGCACUUCUUCUCCUCCUCUACUUCUUUCUUGUUCUCCCUUCCUUUCUCCUUCCUCCUUUGUUCCUCCAUCGCCCUUUCCUCUUCACCCUCUUUUUCUUCCUCGUCGAAACAUUGGUACGUUCUGGCAUCCCAUGUGUUGUUAUACCAGUACAGACUGGUACAUACCGUUCUCGCAGAUUGCCAAAAUCAGUCCGGUACCCAAAAAGGCAAACCUGAUAGAAUGAAUAUUGACCAGUUCAUGUUAUGCUGUCCGGUAUCAAUCCUUCGUCAGACUAGUAAAUAGUGGUCUGUACACAUUGAUAUGGAUGGUAUUGAGUUCUGUUAAUUAGAUGUAUGUUCCUUGGAGCAUUUGGUUUAUUUUGUUUUGCAGUUUUAAAUGAGAUAAUUAUACAUUAGAAUAUUUGGAUAAAGUGACAGAUGAACAGUGUGAACAUGGAAAAACACAGAGAAAACUAUUCUACCACCCUCUUUUUGUCUUAUCUUUACUGUAUCUCUUCUGUGGAAGGAGUAAAAAAUUGAUCUGAGUAUUUAGUUCUUUCUAUUUCAAAUCCAUGCGUCAAAGAUAGCUGUUCUGGAACCUUUAAAUUUCUGUGAAGCUAAAUCUAAUCUUUUUUACGACUGAUGUAGAACAUCUGCAUUGGAUUUAAUUAAACUAGCACACAAACACAUGCAUGUACAUUUUUGCAAAACGUGACAGUUUCAAGAAAUUCUAAUCAAUAAACAUAUAUCAAUUAGUUAAAAAUUGACAUUGAUAAAUAUAUUCAUGUUUGUCAAAUAAGAUAUAAACCAGCACUAUAUAAUAAACCAAAAUGAUUGGAAGCAGUUAUUCUGGAUAUUCAGCUAGGUACUUUGCUACUUUUUUCUUGUUAUUCCCAUUGCAAGCCAGGGCUGCUGCGUGGGACAUUGUGACAUAGCAGAAAUUGGAAAUUUAUCCAAACUAACUAUCGAUUGUAGAAUUUUAAUAUCAUAAAUGCACAAACCAAACUAACAAUUGGUGAAGUUUUGAAAGCAUACUGACUACAUAUAUAAGGAUUGGAACAGAGUUCUAGUCCUUUAUGCAUUAUAUAUGAAUGCCUAUAUAAUUUACCAAUAUUUUCACAAUCACUUAGUUCACUCUUUCCAAGUAUUUGCAAUUUAAGAGGUUUAUCUUUUGCAUGAGCUUAAACUGCAGUUAAUAGGUUACAUCUUUUGAACUAUCAAUUAUUUGGCAACUUGAGAGGGUUGUCUGUUGCUUGAUCUUAAACUGCACUUAAUAAGUUGAUCUUCCUAACUAUCAAUGAGAUUUUGUCUUUAUGGCAAGACCCUCUUGUGCGUAAACUUGUUUAUGCCAGGUAUUUGGCCUCAACUUUAUAGGAUUGACUUUGGCCUGCUAGCCCAUGACAAGGAUCUGUUCAAAUUUCUGCUGAUGCCUUUUUAAUCUGGGAUUACAUAACGAAUUGAAUAACUUUCUUGGAUAAGCUGCUGAUGACAAUGUUGGUGAUGGUGACUUAUGAUUUCUGCUUGGCGGCAUUAUUCACCCUUUUGAGUCUUAAUUUUUAAUAGUCAUCUGUUCAUUGGUUCAAUAUAAGUCACUUCCUCUAACUUUUUAUUGAAACUGUAUUGUGAUCAUGUUGGUGUGUAUUGUUUAAGGUAUCAUGGCAAGAGCAAGGCAUUGAUGUAUGAUGUUACAAAGAUAAUCUCUAUGAUAAAGGGAAAGCGUGGGGAACAUCGCCUUUUUAGACUGGCUGAAAAUUUAUGCAUGAAUCUGAUUCUCUCAAUACGAGAUUUUUUUCUGGUGAAGAAAGAAAUAAAGGUUUAACCAACUUUGUUCAACUUACUGCUAUUAAUACCUUUAGAUAAAUGUUAAUAAACCAUAUCUUUCCUUAUUAAGGCUGGUUCUUACAGGGUCCAACUGAUUUCACUGAGACACUUAAUAGGAUUACAAUAAUUAGCUUGGCUAUCACCAUUAAGACACGUGGAGUUGCUGAGGUUGAACACACGCUUUACCUUCAGCCCUUGCUCGAACAGAUUAUGGCCACUAGUCAACAUACAUGGUCCCAGAAGACUUUACGGUAUUUCCCUCCAACUAUUCGAGAAUUUUUGAUGGGAAGGAUGGACAAAAGGGGACAUACUAUCCAAGCAUGGCAACAGGUAUGCUAUUUCAUCUUGAAUUUUCCCUUGUUUGUUUGGGUUUUUUUUUUGUGCGCCUGAGUUUCAUUUCUGAUUUUUAUUAGCCAUCUGCGUGUAUUUAAAUUGAAUUUUAUUACAUAUUUUAGACUUUUAGUGAACUAUUGGUAUAUUGUUAAAUUGAAAUAAGGAAUGACAAUUUUUGAUAAUUCUGUUAUCAUUCAAUUGUUCUCGAGUUGAUCCAUUCAAUGGUUCAAAAUGUAACAAUAUGGCAAAAGAAUUGGAUCCCAUGAUCCCAGUUAAGUAUUUGUUGGGUCCCUUAGGCACUAUUGUACCUAAAAUAGCAAAUUUCUAUUCAUCUUACCAUUUAAUAACUUAUAAUCAGAUCUUGUUAAAGAAAUAUUUGCUACUUGACAAUUUUAUGACUUGAAAAAUCGAUUUCAGUAACGAUGGUCUUUUGUUAUUGAUAAUCACACCUUCAAGGUAUAUAUCUUUACAUCUGGAUAGAUUAUCUGGGAAGGUAAGCGACAAAACUAUAUAAUUUGAUGAAGUCAAAAUGUAAUUCGUUGAGAUAAAAGUUGUUGUACGAACUUGAUACUUAAAUCAAGCCAAAAUCUUGAUGACUAGGUGCUUGAGUAAAGACUGGAGUUAUACAAUUUUUAACAUUUGGUGAAAAAGCUUUCACUCUGCAUUGUUCAUAAUCCAUUUAUGAAGUAAAAUUAUCCACAAUGGUAUUAAGGGUAAGAUUAACCUGGUUAAGGGAAUUUUAGGAGGCACAUGGGUAGGUGCAGGCAGGAAAUCUGGUGGUAUGAUGGUGGCCAGGCCCCUCUAGAGUUGAAAACAUCCAUUCUAACUACCCCUUUGCUGGGCUUAUUUUGAAGGCGACGAGCAACAGAUCUUGCUUAGGCACCUAAGCAAGUGACCAUGACUAUAGUAUCUCCAAGAUGAAAUGAGAUAAAAAUUUAGAUGCUAGAAUUGCUCUUUGAGGAGCUUUAUCUGUUCUAAAAUUUUCUGUUGGGAAGAAUUAAUUUUGCUAAUCUCUGGAGAAAGCCUUAUACAUGGAAAUUUCCAUGGUUAUUAAGUUACGGUUCAGCCCACUUAAAACUAAAAUAAUGAUACAGAGAAUUCCAGCUUUGCAAAUAUACUCAUUGAAGUAGAAAGGUUGAAAAAGAAAACUGAUAGUAGUUCUCGUAGAAUAUGUUGGUUGUUGGAGUGAAACAUAAACCUUGAUCAUCUACUGGUCUACCUUAGAUAAGGAAUUUAUGAUGUACCAAUGAACAUAUUCUGCCAUGUAGAAAGAUCCUAUAUACAUAAAGUUCUUUUAGGUUAAUUUAGCUCUUAUUCCAAUAAAAAAUUGACUCUAUGGAUGUUGCAAUUCCAUGUUCUUAUCAAACAAAUAUUUAUAUCCCCAUAUAAAUUAUUUGGAAAGAACAUCCAAAAAUCAAUGAUUACUUUAAAAUGAGUUGGAAUACAAAAUCCUGUUGAUGGAACUAGUACAAAUGCAAUAUUAUAGUAAAAAGGAUGAGCUAAUGUUUUAAUGAAAUGUGUAUGGAUAUACAAUAGUCAUUUCAUUAUAUUUGGUUACUGGAAGUCAAAUUAUUGUUUGAGUUAAAUGCUUUUUUCGUUAUCUUGUGAUCCUGAUUUGUUAUUACCUUUUAUUUUACAUCAGGCAGAGUCUACAGUUAUCAAUCAAUGCACUCAGCUUCUCUCACCCUCUGCUGAUCCUACUUAUGUUACGACUUACCUUAGUCAUAGCUUUCCUCAGCAUCGUCAGUAUCUCUGUGCUGGGGCUUGGAUGCUUAUGAAUGGUCAGCCAGAGAGCAUCAAUAGUACCAAUCUCGUGCGAUCCAAUUUCAUCUUUCCAUAAUAAUUAUUUAUACAUGCUCGUCUAUAUUUUCCUACUUGGAACUCAAAUCUGUUUGGAUACAGGGACGUGUCUUGAGAGAACUGUCACCUGAAGAAGUGACAUCUAAUAUAUACACAAUGGUGGAUGUGCUUCUUCAUCAUAUACAGAUCGAGUUGCAACAUGGACAUCCUGCACAGGUUCACUCUUUUUAUAAAUAAAAAAUCAUCUGCUUUUCAAAAUUUUGAUAAUGUGUAAUCAUGUUUGUUGGGAUCUAAAUCUGCUGCAGGAUCUUCUAUCGAAAGCAAUUGCAAAUUUUUCCUUUUUUAUUUGGACACACGAGCUACUUCCUUUGGACAUUCUACUUCUAGCUCUUAUUGACCGAGAUGAUGACCCUUAUGCUCUGCGCAUUGUGGUAUGUUUCCUGGAAUACUUCUUGUUUAUGUUAUUAAAUUGAAGAUCAUGACGUGAUUGCCUUGAUAAAUGAAGAAAUUUGUUAGUAAAUGAAACUUUAAUAUAGGAUUUAUUUUUGCGAUAUAUUUUUGAAUUAUAACAUGUAAUGAAAUCUCACCAUCUAGAGUAAAAUGGCCAAAAAUGAUCUUGGUUGACCAUCAAUCCCCAUUUCAUUAUAUCAUAAUUCUUGGUCCAUGUUAGGGGCGGCAAGUCUUAAUGCAAGCAAUCAACCUGACGAUCCAGACUGAACAUAAGAUUAUCCAUAUCACAUUGAAUUUGUUAAGUUCAUGAAUGAUUGUCCAGGUUCAAGUUGUGUCUGGAUGUGACCAACGAAAUUGACUUCAUAGGUGAUCAAUUGAAUGUGUAAGGGUGUCUUAUUUUUCUUGUGUUAUUCAAAGCAUGUUUGGUUCAUCCCCUAAUUUAAUCAGAUGACAUUAACUGAUAGGUUAAUCAUGUCUAGGGUGUUCAAUUUGAAUUUGUAUGGGCUGGUCAAGUCAGUCAAAGCUUCACUUUUCCUGUUAUUAUACUGAUAUGCAUGCUGGAUUAGGUUUAAACCUCAAGAUACUUAUUUAUCAUUUUUGGUUAAGAGUUAUAUCCUACAUUUUGCAUCUCAGCUUGAUACAAAGGUGACAAACAAGAUUGAUCUGACCCAAUCCCUCCUUAGCCCAUACAAAAACUGUACAUGCUCUUGGGCAAUAGGGUCUAUCUUUAAUUUAUCCUAUAAUAAAUCAGUUCAGUUAACAUUUGAGUAUGCAGUAUACAUCUUUUAACAUUACAUGUCAGUUUCAAUCUACUAUCGAUCUUCUUAACUUGAGAAUAGAAAUUUUGCUUAAUGCUAAUGGCAGAGAGGAGAGAACAUGGACAGAUUUGGUCAAAUUGGGAAAAUAUGCUUCUAGUACACCUAGAUGAUGGGGAAGAUAUGGUAGUAGUCAAGCUUUAAUCUUAAAUGAUAGGAUUCUUGCUUCUAAGAUAUGGGUUCACUCAGACAUGUUAUAGCAUCAUCAUACAAUUAUUUACGCAUGUUAAUCUGCGAUGUGGAACAUUGGAUUGUGAUGUUCUGUAGAUACAGUUAUUUAUACUUCACUCCACCUUUUCCUCCUCAUCUGUUGGUCUUCCUUCCUUCUUCCUCCUCCCCUCUUUUCUUCCCCUUUCUCUUGGUUCGGAUGAUAAUUCAUACCGAAUGUUGGGAUGUCAAUCCAUAUCUGAAUUGUACUAGAAAAUAGAUAAAAACAUUUAGAUUUAUUAACUCUGAUUCAGGAACAUUAAAAUAAUUGGAAAUGAAUUCAAGAAUAAAUUAAGUCAUCCGAGCCAGACUUGAUAAUGCUUGACUAUUUCUCCAGAUGACAGGAAAACUCUCCUUUAGCAAAAGGAAUUACUUAAUCUCCUAAUAGCCCAACCAAAUACUUAGUGCAAUAAAAAAAACCCAAAUCAAAACUAUCAAUUGAAAAUCAUACUCCAAUCUAUCAUGCUUCUUGGUCAUGCAUUUUUAAAGUCCCAUACAUGCAACUGUUUUGUGAUUUUUGUUUGACGUGAAGGACACUUAUCAGGUACAUUUUCCUAAAUGAUUUUGUAAUUUAUUUGACUCAGAUAAAUCUGCUUGACAAGCCUGAGCUUCAGCAAAGGAUUAGAGUGUUCUGCACCAAUCAUUCUUCUGAACAUUGGGCCCAUAAUCAACCUCCAAAAAGAGUUGAACUUCAAAAAGCUCUUGGAAACCAUCUUUCCUGGAAGGAUCGGUAAGACUUACUCUAGAGGAAGUUCCGGUGCUUGCUUACUUCAUAGGUCAAUUUUCUAAAUUUAGUCUUCUGAUUGAUAUAUUUAUGUGAGUGUGAGGUUCUUAUUUUCCAAAAUUGAAGGGAUAUUUUCACAAAUUAAACCUUUUUGAAUAUCCCAUUACCGGCUUCUUUGGGCCUGUUCUAGACCCAAGUAUUGGAGCAGAGAGAGGUAGGCCAUUGUCAAUAUGGAUAAUUUGGUAUGAGUUGUUAGGUUUAGUCAUUAUACUGGCAUUUUCUAAUUAUUUGAGGAUUUCUGCUGCAUACUACAGUACGAAUUUCACUACAUUGGUUUCCUUUCUUCUGCGUAUAUCGUUUGCCAUAAAACUUAAGAAUGCCACACUUGCUAUAUCCCUGCUCUGCUUUUAUGAACAUCAUAAGUAUGUUUCUUUUGAAACCCAGAUGCUGUGCCAUUAAUUUAUAUCCUUGGCUUUGCAUACACCAAGUUAACCGGUUCAGCUUAAGUUGGCGUUCUGUCACUGACUUAGCUGGUUUUGCCUAAGUCGUGCGGCACCAUUGCAUGUCCGUCCGCAAAGGUCAACAUCCUUGAAACCUCCCAUGGUCCCUCAGGACCUACAAAAAAAAAACGGGUUAGAGAAAGCGCCUCACUCGGGAUCCACAAGCAAACAUUUCCGAAAAUACUUCAUAGUCAAUGCAAAUUACAAACACACUUUACAAGCUCUGAAUGGUUGCACAACAAAGGGUCAAAAUAGUCCACUACAAACCGAAUAUCUUUCACAAGUGUUCACAUGACACAACCUUUAUUUACAAGCCUAAAACGACCACCAAACCUAACUAAAAUGGGGUUGCUAAGUCUUCGACUGUCCCUUUACAUGCUGUGCAAAGCAGGAACAAACCAAAAGAUACAGACAUACACAAGCAUUACAUCAAACAUCCUGUUUAGAAUUUUGUCCGUGACAGUUCGUUGCCUUUCUUUUAUAUGAAUUGGAUGGUAAUAGUUGUACAAUUAUUAAACUUUUCUAAUGCUUUUUGGCUAAUAUUUACUUCAAAACCUCAUUUACGCUCAUGUCUCAAUUGAAGAUCUUUAUGAAAUGAGUUUGUUCAGCAUUAUUCUAAGCUUCUUUGGAUAUUGCCAUAUAUCACAUGGACCAAGACCAUAUUGGUGGUAAUAUUUGGGUCCAUUAAUGGUCAAAAGCAUUUAAUAAAUACUUGUAGUGUCUUUUCCAUGUUGUUUCGUAUCGAAGCAUAAGCCAACUCUUGGAUAAUGAUGUGAUAAUAUGUCAAAUGAUUGACAUGAUUACAUCCAGAAAUGAAUCUUAUUCUAAUCAUUUACAACAAAGAUUGCUCAAUAUCAACAAAUACAGUUAUUAGACCUCUAGAUGGUGAAUGAAAGGGUGGCGAGAAAUACUUGUUAGAUGAACAGUGUGUAUGUUAUCUGGGAAUAACCAUGUUUGUUUAUCUGACCUCUUGUUUAGCAAGCUCCAUCUUAUGAGCAUCAAUUUGGCACUUUAGCACUUUAUAUGGGUCUUUGUGAUGGAAGGGGGCAAGCCUGCUAUGCAUAGUAGUUUUUCAGAUGCACCUGCACUGUAUAACUCCCAGUUUGGACAUUUCUUUAUCCCUACACUAAUUCACAGAUCUCCUUGUUCUUGUUGUAAAUGAUUUUUUCUUUUGUUCAUGUUAGUUUAGACUCAGUUCCACUACAGCAGCUUCUAACUAGAAGGGACAUGUCUUUCAAAAAGAUGCUAAUGUAAAAUGAUUCCUUUGACUAUGUUAUCACCCAUAAACUGGAUUUUGAUGGACAGAAUACAGUAGAAAGAGGAUCAUUAAAAAAAGUCUGAGACUAUUAUCUUUGAAUAUAGUUCAAAUCUAGAGAUGGUUGUGUUCAGGUUGACCAAUGGAAGAUGACAAUGAGUUAAAUGAGGAGUAUAAACUAAUGGAGAAUACUAGUUUGUGAACUUCUGGGAUAAGAAAUCCAAAUUGAUAUGAUUACAACUCUCAAGCAUGUGAUGGAAACCUAAGAAGAGAUAUGCCAAAAUCAAUGCAUACUUUUGAGACGUGUAAAUGGGAAGAGGGUAGAUGCUUCAUGCACGAGCUCCAUUAUUAGACAAUACUGAGGGAAGAUAGGCACUUACCUAACUUGUAUAGUAUCUAAGAUCUUGUCUAAUACUGGGAUGAGAAUACGUUAAAGUUUAGUGCAUUACUAGGAAACCAUGUGGGUCCAAAUCAGAGAAUAAUUGGAUUAGUGAGAAUUCUAUCCCAUAUAUGUUGCAUGAACUCCAUGGACAAAUGAAGAUAUUAAAAAAAAAUUUCAAUUUGUUCCUUACUAUCACUUUGUCUUGUGGAGACCAUUAUAGUGGUUUCAAUAGUUACAAAAAAGUUUUGUGCUACAAAUUGGAAAAAAGUUGAGAAGAUAAUUUUUAGCUAAUAGUACCCAUCAUGACAUCAUUCGAAUAUAAAUAGCAUCAUUUGUGAUCUUAGUUGUGUACUUCCCAUAAUUCUAGGCUGAAACUGAAGUUUUAAAUAAUAGUUUUAUGUCUGAGUAAAAUGUAGGGAAUUGGUGAUCUAUAGAUCACCAAUGUAAAUCAAUUAUUCUGAAGAAGUUAAAGUUUUCUCAAACACAUUUACUAUAUAAUACUAGGAUGUAGUUGCAAAAGUCUUAUGUGUAUAAAGAUUUAUCUAAGGGGCACAUUCCGGUUGGUUUAUGCAUCUGAUCGUUAUCUCCUAGUUGAGAUUCUGUGGUAAUGAUUGAGAUACAAAUAUUGUAUGGGUAUCCAUGUCACGUGAAUAAGGUCGUAGAAAAAUAAUAGAUUCUAUGUUAAUCAAGGAUCAAUGGAGUUAUUUGGGGUCUUAGAUUGUGAUAAAGAGGUGCACACUGUGGGUGAUCAUGUAGCUCUGCAUCAUAGAAGGUUGUAAAGGAUGGUGUUCAAUGGUAGUUCUUUAGGAAGAUGAUAGCUUUUGCUUCUGAUAUAAAGAACCUAUUUCGUGGAACUAAGGUAAUAGGUGCAUGUUUGCCUGAAUUAGUAAAUAGUAUUAUAGUUAUGGGAAAACCUUGGUAUCUCAUCUUUUGCACUAUGGAUGCCUUGAAAAUCAUUGAACAAUGUAGUGUAAAAGUCGAAGAAAUGUAGACUUGUCUAGGUAUUUUUACUUUAGGUAGUGCCAUCAUAUUCACGGGCCCUUCAUUCUUUGAUUGAAUCCGAUGAAGCUUCAAGGAUGAGGAGCUAAAUGAUUAAACUGUCUUUAUGAUAGCAGACAGAAAGACUAUGGAUCCUUUGAUGCAUUGCACUGUGAAUAGUAAAUUAAAGACAUGAAUAUUUAAGUAGAACUAUUGACAGGCUACAUGGUGUCCCAGCUACUUAAUGUAUGGAACUUUAGUGGAAAAGAGAAGUCACUACAUAGAAAUUGGAAGCCCUCAAGUUAGCAUGUCCGCUUCAAUAAUUUGUUGAAUAUUUUGAAAGCAUGCUGAAUUUCUGAGAGGUAUGAGGGCAUUUCCAGUUAGUGUUGAUCCAUGAAGGAUUCACAUAAGAGGUUAGGUGAAGUGACAUUUCUUUGUAUAGUUAAAAAAAUUGGAGGUCUAUAUGAUUGGAUUGGAAACAUUGGAAACUGGACCAUUCACAGGUCUGGUCCGCUUCCUAGAUAAUUUAAAAAAAAAAAACUGAAUGAACUGGCUGACAUAACUAGUUUUUUGGAUAAUCCAUAUGAUAGGUCAAGUCAAAUAGAAUCAGCCUGCUUUUGUAUCAUUUUCAAAGCUACUUUGAAUUUCUGCAUUUAAAUCUUCUUAUUAUUUGUUUUCAGUGUAUUUAAGUCAAUCUAAAAUUAGGAUUGAGGGGAGAAAGGAAGUGCUCUUGUCUAGGAGCCAAUUGGCCUUUCUCUUUCCUCAUAUGGUCAUGACUCUCCAUCCAUCCCUUCCUUCCCCGUUACCCCUCUCCCUCUAGCACCCCCCCUCCGGCUACCAUUCUUUCCACCUGCCCUUCUCUUUCACCCUUUUCUCCUGUGCACCUCUUCGUCCCACCACCCCUCUCCCUCCAAACACCCCUCCCUCUGAUCUUCACACACAUUCUACUCUAGUCACUUAUCUACCCAUGGUUGCUUCUCUCCCUUCGGCAAGGUCUUUCUCUAAUUUGGAUUUUUUAAUUUGGUUAAAGGUCAUACUUAUAUUUGUUUAUGCUAUCUUUUAUCUUAUUUUAUAAUUUUAUUGCUUUAGAUUUUAAAAAAUAUUUUAUAAUGCUACAUAUAUAUCUUAUAUAUUUUUUUAGUCAAACAUUCGGUCCGACCAAUUGGUAUAUUGGUCCAACUAGUGACCCAGUAUCCUGAGGCUCAAUUGAGUUGUUUUUGGGUUAUGCUUCUUUGCUUGUUAGGAGUAGAAUGAAAACAGUAACAUUAACAGCACAAGCUAGGUUUGUGGUGGUAUGUUGUUACGAAAUGUCCAAGAUAGUGAUUUAAAAAGGCACUCGAGCGAGGCGAGGCAAGGCCCGAGCGCCUCGCUAAACUUCCAGGCGGUGCGCUUUAAAGAGGCGCCGCUUAGGCGCUCGCCCGAGCUCAGGCGCUGGGCGCUUCGGGCGAGCGCCUGUGUUAAACCAGGCGACCGAACCAGGAUUUUAGGUUUGGUUCGGUCUCCGGUGGUUAGUUGGUUCAAUUGAACCAACUAAAAUCGAUAUCAGCUGUCGCUACCCAACCCUAACCGGCUAACCCUACUCGUUUCCGCUGCCGCUCCCGCGCUCGCUACUCAUCGCUGUUGCUGCUCGCAACCGCUGUCGCCGCUCCCGCUGCUCGCCACUGUUGCUACUCGCCGUUGCUGCUGUCGCCGCUCGCCGCUCCUACUCCUACUGCCGCUGCCUCCUUACACUCCCGCUGCCGUUGCUGUUGCCGCUUCCUCUUUUCUCAGUCAGCAGACUCAACACCCCCUCACACUUCCUUCUCCUUCUGUAUGCUGCAACAUUGUUGUAUGCUGUUAACAAUAUGCUGUUAACAGUAUACAAUAUACUGUUAACAGUAUACAAUAUACUAUUAACAGUAUAACAGUAUACUGUAUACUGUUAAUAUUGUUAGGUUUUGAAUUUUGAAACUUUUUGUUAAUGUGACAUUGUGAUUUUUUAUCUUAGAUUUUCUUAAUUUAAUAGCAUAUUUUUAUUUAAAAUUUUAAAUAAUUAUAUUUAUUAAUUAUAUUAUAUAUUUUUAUAUUUUAGCAUCUCGCUUCGCUCGGGCAAGCGCUUGGGUGAGCGCCUAGCGCCUCGGGCGUUUUUGGACCUUGGCGUCUUUUGGCACCUAACGCUUUUUAAAUCACUGGUCCAAGAGCCUCAACCUGAUUACAGACAGGCAAAUUUUGAGCUGAACCUACCAUUUUAUUUUGACUAUGGAUUGUGCUUACACAUCUCAAUCUCAAAGUCUUGUUACAUCAUAAGUUACUCCACUAUGUGUCCACAUCACCCAUAUCAAAAUUGUGUUGAGUUGAUUUCCUGCAGAGGGGUAGAAAAAGAAUGAGAACAUUGGGUUAGUCACUUUUGACUUGUCAUCAACUUUUCAAAUGUACCUACAACAAGAUAUUUCUGUUCUACUAAAUUUGAUGGGUCGAAUUGAAUCUUUAUAAUCACAUACAUGAUCAUUGCAGGUACCCCACUUUCUUUGAUGACAUUGCCGCACGCUUAAUCCCAGUUAUUCCGCUUAUAGUUUAUAGGCUCAUCGAGAAUGAUGGUACUGAUAUUGCUGACAGAGUUCUUAGUUCUUACACUCAACUUCUGGCUUUUCAUCCUUUGAGGUUUUCAUUUGUUAGAGACACUCUUGCAUAUUUUUAUGGUCACCUUCCAAACAAGCUUGUUUUGCGAAUACUAAAAGUACUUGAUCUUUCAAAGGUACUUCACCUUUUCUUUUCAAUAUCAAACCUAUUUUUACUUUUAAUUUAGUGCUUUAAUUGAAGCUAGAUUUUUUUUUCAGAUUUCAUUCUCAGAGUCUUUUCCUCAGUAUAUGGGUUCAUCGAACUCUGUUGGCUGUCCUCCUCAAGAAUAUUUUGCAAACCUUCUACUAGGUCUUGUGAAUAAUGUCAUACCCUCUUUAAAUAGUAAAGCAAAGUCAGACUCCACAGGAGAUCCUUGUAGCAAUUUUGGGCGUCCAGCUGCAAAUAGAAGCCAGGCAACUUCAAUUAAUUGUUCUGAUGGUCAGAAAGCCUUCUAUCAGAACCAAGAUCCUGGGACAUACACACAACUUGUCCUGGAAACAGCAGCUAUUGAGAUUCUUUCUCUCCCAGCAUCAGCUUCUCAGGUAGUAGCUUCACUUGUUCAGAUUGUUGUCCACAUACAGCCAACACUUAUCCAGUCUGGCAAUGGACUUCAAAGUAUGUCCCAUGGGCAAAAUUCUGGUCUACCAACAUCACCUUCUGGUGGAAGUCCUGAAUCCAUGAACACAAGCCGUUCAACUACUUCAACAACUUGGGUCAAUGCCAACAAUUUCGUUUCCAAAAGUGGCUACUCAUGUCAACAGUUGUCUUGUCUAAUGAUACAAGCAUGUGGGCUUUUGCUUGCCCAGCUCCCACCAGAAUUUCAUAUGCAGUUGUAUUCUGAAGCAUCACGCAUCAUAAAAGAUUGUUGGUGGCUUGUUGAUAGUAAAAAGUCACUUAAAGAGCUGGACUCUGCUGUUGGCUAUGCUUUGUUGGAUUCUACAUGGGCUUCUCAGGACAAUACAUCAACAGCCAUAGGUAUGACUUGGGUUAAGUAGGCAUUCCAUUGAUAUUUAACAUUUAAGAUGUUUCAUGUUGAUUGAUCUUGUUUCUUGAUAUCAUUGAUUAGUAUAUACCAUUAUGAUUGCAAAGUGCUUGCCUUGGCCGUCCAACAUAGACUAGCUAUAACCUUCUUGCAUAUCUUUCUAGUGGUGAAAUAAGAAGCCAAUCAAAUGACGAAUCAACCAUCAAAGAUGAUCUCUUGAAUUUUAUUGUCGUGGAGAUGAUUGUAGUAGUUCUCAGUUCCUCAUCUCAUGUAAAGUUUCAGAAAUGAUAUUAAUGAGAUUUGCUAAUUUUUUGUCAGUCAAUUGUUAGAUGGUCGAAACUUCCCAUCUCUAUUAAAAUCCAUUUACUAGUAUUGACCUAUAUAUCAGGCAUGGAAUAGGCACCAAUUAAAUAUAGAAAAUUUAGCAUGAUAUGAACCUUAUCCAAGAUUUCUAAUCUCAGAGUGCCAUGUAUCUCCAGUAAAAAAUGUCAUAUACAUGCUGAUCAAUCUAUGCUGGUCUGUGGAAACUUAUGCUCUGUUGGAAUGCUAGCUGGGCUCUAUGAGAAGCUUGUGUUUGCAUGUCCUUGGCGAGGAAAUGAACCUGUGUCAACAUCAUGCUUGUACAUUGAAAAUGACCAAGACUGACGUCCAUGACUUGGCUCUCCAUAUCAAAUGAUCUUUUAUCAUUUUUGGUCUAUAAUUAGAAAUUAGCUUUUAGAAUGUUGCAAUUAGCUUCAAGACUUAAAUGUAAAUAAUAAUAUCUCUAGUUUCUAGGCUUUGCAGGUCUGCUAUUGUUCCUAUUGGCUAAUCCAAAUUUGGCAAGCCUUCUUUAGAUGUCAUAACUGUGAAGUGAUCAAAAUCUUAAUAGGCUGAAAUCUUAGUUGCAUAAUUCACAAGAUCAGUAUUGGGAUCAUGAGUAGCUGGGGAUCAUACAAUUGAUAUUGGUGGUAUCACUUGGAUUAAUGGGAUCAAUGUCAACUGAAAAGUUAAAAAAAGAUAAAAAUAAUUAUUAUUAAAAUAUGGAAUAUUAAAAUAAUACAUGCUAAAAGACUAUAUUAUCAUCAUUUUUCAUAAAAUAGCUAUUUUUCGUAAAAAUAUAUUGGUCUUGUAGAAUGUAACAAUGAAAUUGAUUCAGAAUAUUUAUAAAAAUAACUAUUGUUUAAAUUGUGAAUCCUAUGACAUUUGGUGUGAUGAUGGCAUUCCUACCUUAUGAGGUUUCUUUUGCUUCAUGUUUUUUCUCUUCUUCCCCUCUGCUUUCUUCUUUUUCUUGGUCUGAGGUCAUCAAAUAAUUGACCAAAAUUGGUCAACUCUGAUUGAGUUUGAUUGGUUCUAGUUUAUUCCAACCAAAUUCUAGUCAUGAGGUCGAAAGUUCAACCGAAUCACAUCAAUCUUUAAUAAGAUCAAUAUGGAUCAGACAUACCAUAUUGUGAGCAGGCAAUAUUGCAGACUAUGCUUCAUCAGUGGUCGCUUCACAAUGUCAUCUUUUUGCCCUUCUGUAUCCUUUCUGCAACAAUAGCAUAUAGCAAAAUGGUAAAGUGUUUACUAACCCCCUGCAGAUCGAGUCUCUAAUCCAUCCCGUUGGAAUAUUUCACCUAUUGUCAAUUAUUCCAGGCACACUGGAAAACUUUGAGUGGCAUGUAUGCUCCAUCUUAUGGCCUGUAAUACAUGAUCAACCUACAACUCUUUGCAGACUAUCCCAUGCCUUCCUAGCAUCAAGGUUUUAAAUACUGGAUUGAUACAAAUUUUGGCUACCGGUAGAUCAGUAUAGUACUACUAUACCUGGCAGUAUACUGAACUGCACCAUCAGAUAUCAAUGGAAAAAAUAAUAAAAAGUACAUAUCGACUGGACCAACCUAUAUGGUUUAAUAGCAGUCUUUGGGCAAAUUAAUAAAUAUUGAUUAAUACUUAUUGGUUGGGAUGAUAUUUGAAACCUCCAUAGCAUUAUAUUUUGUGCCUCUUUAGCUUAUUAUGGAGGAGAAAGGAUUUGAAAUAAGUUAUUAUUGACAUGAAAACAUUAUCAAGAUGGUUGAGGCAAUUUAACAUUUUACUUGCUGCUUUUCUAGAUUUUAUGCCAGUUUAUAGAAGGUGUUCGGAAGCCCCCAUAGUUUAAUUCCAGAGUCACAGAUCGUUGUGUUCUGCAUGUCUGACUCUUGGCAAUAUGGCUUUGACUUUGAGCAUGGUGCUAUAAUUUCCCUGACCCAUUCGUAUAAACUUAUGGUUUACAUAGCACUACAAAUUACCAGCAGAGGAACACAUGCACCCUUGCCAUGCAAACCCUGAUAUGAUGUGGAGCCAUGCUACAAUUUUGCUUGUAUUUGCUAAACAAAUGUCUGGGACUUAACUCCUAAGAAAUACUUGCAUUGAUCCAUAUCUUUUUUCUUACACUGGACUAUUUAAAUCUUCUCAGCUGUUAAACUUUCUCUUUAUUAACCCAACGUUGCUUUUUACCUUUCUGUGUCUCAGGAAAUAUUGUGGCACUGCUGCAUUCAUUCUUUAGCAAUCUUCCACAUGAAUGGCUAGAAUCAACACAUACAAUAAUUAAGCAUCUUCGGCCAUUGAAUUCUGUUGCGAUGCUAAGAAUAGCUUUCCGCAUAAUGGGCCCUUUACUGCCUCGUCUUGCCUUUGCUCGUCCAUUGUUCAUGAAGGUACACAUAGAAUUAUUUGUAUGCACAUUUGUGAAUAUAUGUAUUACUAUUUUUGUGUUAAAAGUUGUGUUUUGUAUCAAAUCUACGAGGGACCAUAUUGGCAUACCAUAUUAAUCCAAUUGACUAUUAGAGUGGCACCAGUACUUGAAAAUUCUUGGUUUUGUUACUUGUUAACAUUUAUAAAUGCUUUAACAGUGUGCCACUUGUUGCAUUCUAUUAAAAGAUCUGAUUGACAAACUACUUGUUUUGUGUUAUCCUCAUUACUAUGUUAACAGUUGCAUACUCAGAUGCGAUCACUGACUAUUAUUUCUUUCUACAAAAAGGGGAUUCUGCCGGUUAAGAUGUCAUUUUGACUUUCUACAUUGCUUUAGUCUUUAUGACCUCUUAGACAAAUUGGAAAACUAUAUAACGUAUUAUAUGAUGCAGGCACUCUUUUCCAUAUCUUGUUCUGUUUAAUCUAUAAUGUCCAUUGAAGUUCUUAUAAUUGGAUGAUACUUGUCCUUUGUCGACCCUAACAUGGACCACUUAUAUCUUGUUCCGUAGACACUAGCUCUGUUAUUCAAUGUGAUGGCUGAUGUGUUUGGAAAGAAUUCACAGCCUGCAGUUCAUGCUGAAGCAUCAGAUAUAAGGGACCUUAUUGACUUUCUGUAAGUUGUAUACAUGAUCUCUGAUUUGUAUGUCAACAUAUAUGGAUUAUAUUUGCAUGUGAAUAAUAAUCUCUUGUUCUUCUAACAUUUUGUGAAAUCAGGCACCAUGCUGUCAUGUAUGAAGGACAAGGAGGACCUGUGCAGAACACCAGUAAACCCAGAGUGGAGAGCUUGACCUUGUGCGGCAAAGUCAUGGAACUUUUGAGACCGGAUGUUCAGCAUCUUCUUUCACACUUGAAGACUGAUCCGAACUCCUCCAUUUAUGCAGCAACCCAUCCAAAGCUAGUAGUACAAAAUCCAACACAAACAAAUUUAUGAUCGCUGAGAUAAUCGAGUUUAAUCUUUUCAGAUUUUUAAGAUACAUAGAUUGUUUAACUACGAGCGAUGGAAAAGGCAUUGAUUAACUGGAAUUUUAGAACUGUAGAGCUCCUUGAAUGGUUCUUUUUUAUUGCUAGUUCUUCCCUGAUCAUGGUAUCAUCCACCUCUAUCAGUAAGGUAUGUAAAGGGAUUUAUUUUUGUGCUAUUAACUCAGUGGUGACAAAAAGCUUAAAAUAGUCUAUGUCCUGUUAGAUCGAUACUGUAAUUUGGAUGUGUAUUGUUAAUAAAGAUGGAUGUCAGUGUAUUAAUAUCGUGCUGUGUUUCAAUGCUGUGAUUUGGUUGAAUCAACUCAUUGAUUGGUACAACCGUGAUUUGAUUACCAUCUCGCUUCAUUGUUUGUAAAAGCAAUCCUGAAAAAGGAAACAACAGUUGAAGUAACCAUGUGCAUCGACCUGCAAAAAGGGGUUUCUUCAAAACGCAGUUAUGUGGCGGUUUUGUUGUGUAUGUUAAUGUGCAGGAUGGAGACUGUACCUCAAAUUCAUGUUGUUGGAAAAAUGUAUUCGAGUUUGGACCAAAGAGACUAUACUCUUUCUCUUCUCUUCGAAGCAAGAAAGUAGAAUUAAUUCAAACCCUAAUCUGUUCCUGCCGCUAUAAUUUUGUUCGCUUUAGUUAGCGGAAUCUUCAUCGUCGUCGCUGUGGCACGCCGAGCCUAAGCUCGAGUUGGGCCUAACCCAGACUUGAUGUGGUCAGGGUCAUAGGUCCCGUUCGGCUUUGAGAUGCGUGUUUGAUGCUUUGAAAUUCGUGAUCUUCUCAUCGGUGUCUCAUGACGAACCUUAGCUUUCACACUCGAGACGUGAUGAUUUAGUUGUAGCUUGUGCUCUUAUCACAACUAGCUAAUCCAAAUAUAUAUCGGUGCUUUAACUUAAACCCUUUCUCGGCCAAAUUCCGCCGCCGGUAAUCCUUUCCCACUCUCGCAGUAAGUGUUCCUCCUCUCCACUCCGCUGCGGCUGCGGCUGCGGCUGUUGGAUGGAUGUAGGACCUCCGGUGUGGCAGUUUCCGGCUGGCGGGUGACUGAUGGCCUGAAAACUCCUCCCUUCCUUUCUCUAUUUGGACUCUGCUUUUAUACAACACUUUCCACGGCUUCUUAGUUUGGAGCCAAUUUCUGUCGUUCUACACUUGGAAACGCAAACACAGUUGGUUGAUUACUAGCCGGUGGUAUACCAGAUUAGGGAUUGCUUAGUGCGGCAGCAGAUGCCCAAAUUAAUGGAAAUGUGAUUUACCAAUGAGUUUCAAAUAUUCUGAUAGGUUGCUUUGCUUAUAGUGGUCACCUUUAAUGGUUGUGUUCCGAUUUACUUUCUCCGAACAGGGUAGUUAUGGACUUUCCUGCUCUAGCAAUCAAACUAGGAUUAUAUGACUCUGAUAGUUGCUUUUACUUAUAGUGGUCACCUUUAAUGGCGAUUGCAGGAAAGUAGAUAUUCUGAUAGUUUUCUUUUCUCGGUCAAAUUCUUCUGCCGGAAUCCUCCGGGCAGCCAUAGUGCUCCUCGGUAGUGACCAUGACCAAUGGUUUUAUUGCAAUGUUCAUUACCGUUGAAAUGUUAAUUUGGCUUCCUUCAUAUGAUUUUAGUUCUGCUUCUUGAUAUAUUUUUUUUUAUCAUCAAGUCUUCACAAAUAACAUUAUUCUUAGACCUUUGAUUUGAUAACUAAAUCCUUGAAUGUCUGAUUUGUAUUCUUCAUUCUAACUGCUGUGUCAUUUGUAUUUGCUUAUAUUCUUUAUUUCUUGGACUGGUUUUAAAGUGUGAAGUCUUCCGUUGUCAAUUUCCUCGAUCCAAUCCCUUCUACUCUGAUGAACCACCAAGACAUUAUGGCACUGACAAACCAUUGAGGGUUGGAGGUAAUUGAAUUUAUCUAAUAUAAUUGUUUGAGAAAAUAAGGAUCAUAUUCCUCUGUUGAACUGUCAAGUAUUGCUAAAAAUAGCUUCGCUAGAUGAGAUUUUCAUUUCUUAAAUUACUCCAAACAAGUGAACUCUUCUAGAUUGAAUAUUUAUAUAAGUAUAUAGGCGAUGACCUGAUUCAAAGGGAUCUAUUGCCCUUGAACAAAAAAAAAAAAAGAAAGAAACUUUUUGUGAAACCUUAAGAGGAAAAAAAGACUAUAUUGGUUUAUUUUAUGGACAAGCAGCAUUUUAUUCUAGAACAGUUCAGUGAUCACAAGAUCAACAAGGAUCCUGUGUUAGCGUUAAGGAACUCUACUUAACGAAUUCUCCUUAAUGGUUUUGAAACCAUGUUCAGAUCAUCAUGUGUGAACGUUUUUAUCUGCCAAUGCAACUAUGGUAAUAAAGAUGUUCCCUCAUAUCUAGAAUGUUGCUUGGUUGUAGGGAGACUUUUCAACUGAUGAAAACUAUUGCAGCUAGUAAGGAACCUUAAUUAUUGCAGAAGGUCUAACAAGAAUAAAGCAAUUGUUGAUUAUAAGGAAUAGCAGCAAACAAGAUCAUUAUAGAUAUAAUCUUCUACCUUAGUUGGAUCCUUUUGUUUUUAUAGAUAUAGCUGAUUAUAUUGAAAAAUUCGUAAGCUUGACAUAGUCAAUCAAAUAACUCAUAUAAAAUUCAUUUUCACAUUAUUUCUAAGUAAUUUCAGCUUGUAAAAAAAUUUCAGUGCAUAUAACAUUCUUAAGGCUUGCAUUUCAAAGUUGAAAUUCAUAGAUAUCUUGAAAAUGAAAUAAAUAAAGAAUUAAGUUUAUUUUAUCACUGGAUAAAAUCCAAUUGUAAAUAUCUAGAGACAGCAGAGUAAGAUCAAAAAAGCAAGGGUAGAUCCAAUCCCUUUGACGUUAUCUUGAUGAUUUUGUGCCCAUUCCUGGUCCUACUGACCUUACACCUGUCCUGCCUGUAUUGCUACCCCUAUAUUUCAGCUUAUCUUGUAUCAUUGGCUUUCUUGAAACUGUCUUUUCAAUUAAAUCCAACCCAUUCAGUUGAUUAUUUGGUCAAACUUAUUAACAAUGCAGUUAUAGAACAAAACAAUUAACACUAAACAUUUAUGAUAUUGACUCUAUGAAAGUUCAUAUUGAUUUUAUACUUAAUUUUCUUAUAUUCACUGUUACCAUCUCUGAGGAUGGUACAAGUUGUUUUGAGAAUAGGUGAUUGAUAUAGGGUUUAAUAUUCACCAUAUUGGUUUUUCAUAAAAAGUUGAUCUUUCUUUGCUUUGAUGUUUUUACUAGCUGCACUUUGCUCUUGGUGUGGCACAUGGAAAGGGGAGAAAGUUUGCAGCAGGUGUAGGAGGGCAUGUUACUGCUCUGAGAAACAUCAGGUGAUUAAAAAUAAUAUUUUUCUUUUCCUAAAUUUUAUGCUUGAUCAUAACUUAUUUCUGUCUUUGGAUGCCAGGCUAUGCAUUGGAAGUCUGGACAUAAAAACCAGUGCCAUCAGAUUAUUACUAACUUAGAAUCUUCUAGUGCUAGUGCUGGUUCAUCUAGAGCUAGGCUUCCUGCUACAGAUAAAGGUCAGAUCAGUUGAAAUGAAUUACGAAAAUAACUUAUCUAUCAUGGUCGUUUUGGCUGCCUUCAGUACAUUAUGGUCUGAGUAUGAGAUUAUUAUAGAAGGUGAAAGUGCUUUUUAUAUGGAGACUUCUCAAGAUAAUAGUUGUGCCACAACAUUGGUGCCUAAAUAUAUGAAAACAGAUGACACAUAUCAGUUCUUGCUGGACAAGUUUGAGGUUUGUCCUUAUUGCCAUUGCAUUAUUGCUUGCUCUAUUAAGAUACUAUGUAUUUGAUCUUGGGAUGUUGUAAUGUUGUGAAGGCUGAUGAGAAUAAAAGGUACCGCCGGCAUCAUUUCAAGAACGAAUGUCUAAAUGUCCCAACCAAGUGUUGAGGUGAGUUAAAUUUGCUCAGGAUGAAUCCUGAUUCUGCACAGUUAUCUAUUCUUAUGGUCUGCCUGAUAAGUAUGUCUGUGGCAUAAAUGUUCUUCGUCCUUUAAAAGCAGGACAUAUGUUGAAUGUUUAAAAAAUGGAGACUUCCAUUGGAUUUCUAUUUAUUUUAUUUUCAUGUGCUACACUAUCACUAUGAUCAAGAAGUGAUCCUUUGUUUCUGAAAAUCAUGCAAUAAAAACUGAAGGAUUUCUGUAUAUUGAACAGAUACUGUCGAGGUCUGAUGGCAAAACCACUGUGGCCUUUGCCUUUGUCGAUUGGUUGCCCCACCAAAGCCAAUAUUAAAAAAUGCAACUACUGCAAUGGUCCUUUAUGCUAUGAAUUUCAGGUUUGAUAUGAAUCUGUGCUUUUCUCUCUAAAUCUUAUUAGCUAUUGCUUAUUUCAGAUAAAUAUGCAAACAUUAUUUAAUUAAAUUGUCAUGAAAAUUUCAUAUUGUUAAGUAACAUGGUACUCGAUACUCAAAUAGUAUUCCAAAUUUUUAAGAAAUGACUGAAAAGUAAGAUGAACAACAUUUACUAGUUGAUUAGCAGAAGAAUCAACCUGUUCUGAUAGAUCAAAUGGGUAAGAAUUGGAACCGAAUGAUCUAUCUAUAAAGUGGAGGCGAAUAUAUGCUUCUAAGCAUGUUGAGGUGGUGCAUGUUUCUCCAUUUGUUCAGCUGAGAUAUCACACCUAUGCUUGUUUAUGUAUAAUGAAGGAAACUGAGAUUGUUGUCAUCUUUCUUGUAUAACACAUCUAUAUAUCAGGAAGUUAAUUUCUUUUAAAAUUGUUCCAUUUGCAGAUCAUGCCUCAGUUACUUUAUUACUUUGGUGUUAGAAAUGAUCCUGACUCUCUUGAUCGGGGAACCGUUGCCGUGUAUUCGUGUUUUGCCUCAUGCGAAUCAAGUAUUAGCUGCAAAGAGGAAUUCACAUGGGUUCAGUAAUAGCCUAGCACACCAGUGACUUGAGGGUGCUCCGACAUAUAUACCCUCUAUGAUUAGAAUUCCAGGUUCGAUGAACUUGUUUACUUCCAUGUCCUAAUAGAUGACUCUUUUCCUUAUAUAUGUUUUAUAGGAUUAAGUGAGUAUGGAAUUAGAGUCGAAGUAUGGCAACUGAUAUCAAACUUUCUGAGAAGAUACUUAGCAUUACACUAGUUGGUUCACCGCUCAUCAAUAGAUUUUGGAAAGAGACACUAGGUGCUGCAUCAUAGGGUCAAGCCUUGCAUGGCGAUUGGACACCACAAAUAGGGUGUAAGACCCAUUCAAGCUAAUUUGAGUUUGUAAAAUACCAUAGAGAGUAACCAUCCAUCAUAAUGCGAUUAAAAUAUAACUAGCAUUCAUGAUACAGUCAUGAUAUUAUUUUUGCUUCUAUUCUCAAAUGAGAAGGUGUUAAUUUCAAGGUUAAUUCACACAGUUGGUAGAGUUGGUAGAUUGUUAUUUUUCUCAAAAUUUUGCCUCCUAGCUUGAUAAUUGUAGUUGUUCGUGCUUCAUGUUUUGGUAAGCCACAGAUCUGUAGGUAUGACUGCUCAGUUUCUCAUAUUCUUGACUUGUCAUCUUUAUGAGGUUGUUGUCAAGGGAGAGUGGGACUGAAAGGCUUCCUCCCUCUGUUUUGGCUUCUGAAUCAUGUUCAAGAUUACACGUGCAAUUCACAUGCUUCUUUGUCAAGUUUAUUGUGUCAAAAUAUGGUUGCUUUGCAGUGCCACAGCAUUUUCGAAUUUAUAGUACAAUAUAUUAAUCUUAUUAUUAUUAUUAUUAUUAUUAUUAUUAUUAUUAUUAUUAUUAUUAAUGUGAGCGAUGUCAACUAUAAUUAUCGAUACAUGAUUUGAUGUGAAAAGCACCAUCGACUGCUAAUACUGUCAACGAAAGCCCUUCAAAUACUGACCCGAAGACGUGCAUAUUUAUUGCAGCAAUCGAUUUCCAAUUUAUUGCACCCGUCACCGAACCUGAAAGCUCAAACUACUGCCGGCCGCCGGCACCCGACGUCGACGCCACCGGCUCCGCCACACCCUCCUUGGGGCUGCAUAACCCCACCGCGUGCCGCGCCCAAAACCCGCCCCCCGCCUUCGCCCUCGCCGCCCGCCUCCUCUCCUCCUCUGCCGCCGCAGCAGCUGCCGUCUCGCUCCGUUUCUCCUGACGGCUCCCGACGAUGAGGCGGUCCAACUCCCUCCUGAUCCACUCGAUCUCGUAGGCGUCGAGCAGUGGUAUGACAGGCCUAGGCUCGGCCGUCGAGCUCUCACCACCAGCAGCGCGGUCGUCUAGCAAGCGGCGAGACGGCCGCCAGGCCGCUUGUGCCUCGCCGCAGCCGGUGCGGUGAUGGCACCGCGCCCGAUCUGCCGCCUUCGCCAGUGGCAGCAGCUCCGGGGCAGGAGCCACCGACGAAGAAGACACUGCGCUUGUCCGUCGCGUCCCUCGUUCCAUGUAACCAAAGCUUCACAGAGAGAGAGAGAGAGAGAGGUCUUAAGGAACGAAGAGAAGGAUAGCUUUCGCUGGAUCUUUGUUAGUUUUGCGUGCACCAAAAAGAAGAAGAUGAAGUGUGUGCAGUGGGUCAAAAGAAAGACUUGUACAUUUAUUUGAGCCCUAUCGCCAUUCUCUUUCCAUGUGCUUAUUGUUUUCUGUAAGAAGUUUCCUCUACAGUUGACUUUGAGCAGAGAAUAAAACAUGUUUUAGUAGGAUGCCGAUGGAGAUCAACAGGUGGAACGAGGUACGGCGUUCGAUCAGAUGCCCCAAGGUUUUCAUGAAACCAUGGGAAGAAGGGUAGAUGGAUGCAGAUUCUGUGCAUGUUGCUACUCACAGUUUGGUGACUCACCAGGGAAUAAUGCAUGCAGAAGCAAAGGGGAAAGGCCGAGCUUGCAGCAGCGCUGACUCUCUUUCUGCAGUCAAAAUAUUAGGGUUUGGCCAUGGAGGUGUGGUGGUGUUGUUGUUUCCCGGUUGCUGCAAUAUUAAACUCGCUGCGUGUUGCGGGUUAUGGAUAUUGUACGUGAAAUAAUCCACUAUGAUUCAUGCACGUAAUCCAAGGGGCGGAGACGGCUGCUGGGCCGUUGGAUUUGGAACCAAGAAUCUACGCGUAUUGCUCUUUUUUAGGUAAAGAUUAAUUCAACCACCCUACGGGCAUGAGAGCCUGAUUUGACCCGUAGAACGAAGGAUCCAUCCAUAUUGGUAUCGGACUUCCGUUCAUACUAUCGGCACAUGCAAAGCUUUUAUUAUGAUUUAAAUAUGCAUGAUGAUACUACGAGACACAAACACAUGAUGAGAUGUCGGUAAGGCUUUUAUUAUGAUUUAGAUAUGCAUGAUACUAUGAUUCGUUAGAUCAUCGGACCAUUAUUUACCGUCCGAUCUAGACUUGAUAGAACAAUGGAUGCGAGAUAUAGCACAAAAUUAGCCAAUCCAUGAGCCGACCUAUUUAUAUUUUUUAGAAUAUAACACCAUAUGUUUAGAGAAUGAUGAUCUCUAUUUUGUUAUAUGGGAUACUAAUAAUAACUGAUCUCGUUUCAUGUCAACCAACCAAUCCACCCCCAAAGACCUGCUACCUCGAAGAAUGAAAUAAACAUUGUUGAUUAGGAAUAAUAUAUGUAUAUGAGAAACUUACCCACCAAUAUAACCCUCUUUAUGCAAAAUAAAUAUCAAAUUUCUAAUACUAAAAAUGUCCCUAAUGUCUAUAUUUGAAUCCAAAUUAUUUGAUCUAUUAAAAUCUUUAUCGAUUAAACUAACACACACUAAGUCAUAUUCAUCUAAUAUGUAACAUCUCAUAAUUUUUUUCCAGGUUGGCUCGGUACGAUACGAUACCAACGUACCGAGUGGUACAGCAGGACGAACCGAACGGUACACCCUGAUAUACCGAACAAUUUUAUAUAUCCUGAUAUAUCGAACAAUUUUAUAUAUUUUCUUCAUACUAUAACAAUACUGUAGUGUAAUACUAUACUGAUACGUACCGCUUAUACCGGACAAUAUCAUUCGAUACUACAUACCAUGAUUUUUUUGUCACUCAAUGGCAGUAUUUUCUGGGUUUAAGAUAUGAUACACAGCAUCAUUAAUGUCAUCAACUUCAAGAUCAUGUCAUUAUUAAUACCCUUUCUCAUAAUAAUUUGGCGAUCGUUCAUAGAAUGAUACCCUUGCAUCAGGAGUGUCGUUAUUUUGAUAUCAUGUUUAGCAUUGUACAUCUACUAUUUGAUGGUGGACAAUAACUAAUAUAUAUCAUCUAAAAUACCGCACCACACUCAAUGUAGAUAUACCGGCAUCUCAAUUCAAAUAUAAUUAUUCACGAAAUAAUCCAAUUUCAAAAGGGCUACUCAAGAAAUAUUCAAAUUAUCGCUCUUAUAAAUCAUCAAAUACUAGGAAAAGACAAACUAGUGAUUAAUAAACAUAACAAAAAGGAUAAACAAAGACGAAAAAGAAAAUGUGGAUUUCAAUAAACAGCAACAACAUGCAAAUUAUUUAACUUGUAUAAUCUGAAUUUUUUUUCUUUGUUAAGAGUACUAAUAACUAAGUUUGGGAAAAAAAAAUAUAUUCAAGUUAAAUAAUUUGCAUGAGACAAAAUUUGCGCCUUGAAGGCUUACCAUUUCUAAUCUUGAAGAGUUCUAACACAACAGAAAAGCAUCUUAACCUUGAAGGAUUGCACCACCCUCAUUGUGAUGGUUAGAUUAGAACACCACAAACUUAGCUCGGAGAGUCGAAAAUGGUUGCCUUUUCCUGCUGUCUUGGUGUGCCGAGUAUUUCUUGGGUUGGAUCACGUAUAAAACAUUCUCACUGAGAUUAACACUUAGCAUGAUAAAGCUAACUGUCCCAUUAUUUGCAGAAGCUCUCUGGCUAACCUGUCAUCACAAGGUGACCAGCUACAGCAGAAAUAUACUACUGAUUCACCUACACCAUUCUCCUUUUUCCUAUAGGAACAAUGUUCAUUUGAACAAACACAGACAUGAAAGGUAUGCAACUGCAGAGAGUCAGAGGCAAUUUGGAUAUCUUUGCAUUCAGUUCUGGUUUCCAAUUCUGACAGCAAAAUGUGAAGGAGAGUAUUGUUGGCUGUGGCAAGCCUGUCUUCUGUUGCCAGACAUCUCGGCACAUCAACCCUCGUAAUAGAACUCUCAUGACAGUGUGUAGUAUUUGCUUCAUCUGAUAAAUGCUCUGUCCUAGUAACUUCCACAGGACAGCAAAAAGCAAACCUGACUUGAUGCUCUAUCACUCCGAGGGUACGAAGAAGCUCACUCUCAUGGAUGAGUUUUGCAGUUUUGGUUUUCUCCAUAAGAAGGAUGCCUUCUGCUGUUGUAUCCUCUCUUGCCAACUUUAUUAUUUCAUUAUCCUUGGAACUAGAGUCUGAAAUGGACACAGAGCUGUUUUUUACAUUACUGAGCAUAGCACUGGAACAGCUCCUGAUGAACUUCUUUGUGACAUCAAUUUUCACAUGUUGGGUUGUAGAAAUCAGCAGUUUCUCAUUGUUUGCCGGAUAAUAGCACUGGAUUCCCAGCUCAGAUUGGAUCCUUUCUUUUAGCAAGGCCAUUUUAGGCCUUUCUCCAUGCACAAGUAUCACAUGUUUUGGAGACAGAUACUCGAUGAGAUCCAUGAUCCCUUUGGCAUCAGUGUGAGGACUAAAAGACAGCUGAUGGAUCUGCAUAAAAGGAACAUUAAUAUGAGAUCAUCAAAGCAUUUAAAGGAAAAGAAAAUCAAUAAGAAUCCAAAGGCAUCAGGCAUCAGGAACAACAACCGGAAUAUUAUGCUGAAAAAAAGAAAAGGUUCUCACAAAGGUGCCUAAGGUGAACUAAACUUUUUUUUCUCACAAAUAUCCGAGCUAAGUAUCAAAGUAUCAAUAGGGCAAACAAAUCAACAAAUAGG
RNAcentral lists this long non-coding RNA (47653 nucleotides) under Musa acuminata (dwarf banana). RNAcentral's name for it is "long non-coding RNA (MACU_LNC001127)". Lineage: Eukaryota; Viridiplantae; Streptophyta; Magnoliopsida; Zingiberales; Musaceae. The record is from RNAcentral.